Molecule: long non-coding RNA, 68248 nt
Filed under: Cicer arietinum (chickpea)
Lineage: Eukaryota; Viridiplantae; Streptophyta; Magnoliopsida; Fabales; Fabaceae
Description: long non-coding RNA (CARI_LNC001889)
Source: RNAcentral
GGCCAGACUUGUUGCCAAAGGUUUCUAGACACCUUUUCUAGUGACGUUUUUCUUCAAGAUGACCUUCAUGAGGAAGUUUGAAACUUCCUCCUCCUGAUUAUCUAAGUCAUAAUAGUAAUAAGGUUUGUCGUUUAAAAAAAAUACGUGUAUGGUUUAAAACAAGCAAGUUUGCAAUGGUUUGUCAAACCACCUUUUGCCUUGAUAUCAUUUGGUUUUCAACAUUCAAAACAUGAUCAUUCCUUAUUCGUUCUCAAGAAGUUAAAUUCUUUUAUUAUUUUGUUGGUUUACGUAGAUGAUAUUAUUAUUGUAGGUAAUUCUGAAUUAGAGAUCGAUAUGAUUAAAACUUUUUUAAAUUUUUCUUUUCAUAUUAGAAACCUUGGGGACUUAAAGUUAUUUCUUGGAUUGGAGAUAUCUCGUUCAAGGAAGGGUAUUCACAAAUGUCAACGUAAAUGUGAUUUUGAUAUCUUGUCAGAUGUUGGAUUAUUAAACACUAAACCUUGCAAUACACAUAUGAUCAAGGACUGCAAAUUUCUAUACAACUCAAAGGCGCAACCCCAUGACCCAACCUCUUUUAGGAGAAUUAUUGAACGUCUUAUUUACUUGACCAACAAACGACUUGAUAUUGUUUUCUCCAUGCAACAACUUAGCCAAUUUAUGCAAUCAUCGACUGAAGACCAUUACAUGGCAGUCAUGGAGAUCAUCAAAUACAUAAAAACUGCAUCAGCACAAGGAUUGUUUUAUUCAUUAGCGUCUAUACUUCAAUUGCGAGCGUUUAGCUAUUUUGAUUGGGCAAUCUGCCCAGAAAAAGAAGGUUUGUAAUUAGAUUCUGUAUAUUUCUUAGAGGUAUAAGAAACAAAGCAUUGUAUCUCGUUCAUCUUCUAAAAUGGAGUAUAGAGCAUUAGAGUCAACAACUUGUGAAAUUCAAUGGAUAACAUUUCUUUUGCAAGAAUUAAACAUGAAUUUUUCUGCCCCUUCAACUUUUUAUUGCGAUAAUCAAUCAGCUGGGAACAUUGCAUCAAAUCCUACAUUCCAUGAGAGAACAAAACAUAUAGAAAUUGAUUGUCACAUUGUUCACGACAAACUGCAAACUGGAAAUGUUCAAACUUUUGCUCAUCUCUUCAUCAAAUAUUAUGGUUGAUUUCUUUACUAAAUCACUUGAACCUACAACAUUCAAUUCAAUUCUUAACAAGCUGACAAUUCUUAAAAUACAUUCUCCAUCUUGAGGGGAUGUUAGUUUAAUAUUAGUUAGUUUUAUUAUGCUUUUAUUCUUGGGUUGUUAUAGUCAUUUUGUUGGUAGCCUUUCAGACCUUUUUGUUGUUAUUUUCUGUUACAAAGCUAUUGUUAUAAAUAAGCAUGUGAUGUAUAUUCAGUAAAAUAAUAUCCAUUAAUUGUUAUUUUUUAAGAUAACAAUUUUUAUAUUCAACAAGACAUUGAAUUGGUUCUUACUCUCCUACUCAUUUGGUAGGUUGAUAGAUAAACUAUAAUACAUUAAGCAGGCCAAGAUAGGCCCAACCCAAAAAACCCAAUGCCCAUUCCAUAACGAGCCUCCAUGAAACAAAGCCGCACCUAAGCAUCUAGCUGGGUUCAGCCCAACACCAGCAUAACCGGCCCGUCCAGUUACAGUUAUGGACACAAAUACUGCCAAUGCCAUAGCCCCAGCAAUGACCAAACAUAUCAUUGGUAAGCCCAAAUCCUUUGACCUUUUUUUGUCAAAAGCCAAUGUGACACCCAAAAAGAGUACUAAAAAUGUGCAAGAGAAUUCCAAUAAUAAAGCAUCAUGUUGAUGAAUACUAGAAUUUAAUCCUUUGCCACCAAUAGCACAACCUCCUAAUGAAUAUGUAUUUAUUAAAUUUGGGUCCAUGACACAUUUGAGUAUAUAGAAACCAAUUAUUGAGCCAAUGCAUUGUGCUAAGAUGUAAAGAAGUGCACGAGAAAGUGUGACAACACCUUUUAAUGCAGCUAUGAAUGUGAAAACAGGGCUCAUGUGACCACCGGAUAGAGGAAUUGUAACAAUUAGGAAUAAAAAGGCUAUGAUGAAAACUACAAUUGGAAUAAUAAGCUUAGGAUCGGUUUCAUGUGAGUCUAAGCAUGCAAUAAUGGAGCUUGUUAAGGUGAUCAUUAGAGAGGCAGUUGCUACUAAUUCUGUAAAAGCUGCUUUCCAUGUCUGAAAAAUAUAUUAAAAAUGAGUGUUAUUAUUUCCUAUACUUGAUACUUAAUUAGUGAUAAGAAAUUGAAACUUUUGGUUGCGUAUUAAUAAAGGACGCAUACUAAUAAAGGAUUUGGUGCUCAACUCUUGUAUGGAAUAAAAUAUAAAAAAAAAUGGGAAAAACCAAUGAAAAAAACUGAGCCACAUUUUGGCAAAAAUUAAGAAAUUAUAUAAUCACUCUCUCUCAUUUUUUCAUAAUUUUACUUAAUAAAUUGUAUUAAAAUAGAUCAGUGCUGUUGAAAUUUAAAAAUAGUUAUUGGUAAAAUCUAUUUAGUAAAUUUUUUAAAAGUAUUGGAUUGGAGGAAUUAGGUUUUUAUUAAGUAUUAAUAUUAAAUUAUAAAUAAGUCACGUGUAACUUUGAAAUUCAUUUAGCCACCCAACUACUAAGAGUAUCAUCAUUAUGGAAACUCUAAUAAUCUAUUAUAAACUAGAAAGUAAAUAAAAUUUGACUAAUGAUUGUUUAAAUAAAAGAUUAAACUCAAAUACUCUAUCAAUUCAACUUUAAAGAUAUGUUUGUAGAGUCAAAUGUGUCUAUAUAUAUAUAUAUAUAUAUAAGAGUUAUAAUGAGAAAUAUAUUUUUUAUGUGUAAGUGAGAGGAUGAAAUAUAUAUAUAUAUAUAUAUAUAUAUAUAUAUAUAUAUAUAUAUAUAUNNNNNNNNNNNNNNNNNNNNNNNNNNNNNNNNNNNNNNUUUUUGUGUGUGUGAGAGAGGAAGAGAUAUAUAUAUAUAUAUAUAUAUAUAUAUAUAUAUAUAUAUAUAUAUAUAUUCUUUUGAUUUUUAGAGGAAUAAAAUAAUGAUAAAUUGAAAUUUGAUUUAAAGGUAAAUAAAGUCGACCAAAUAUUAUUUUAGUGAGGAAUUCAAAUUUAGAAUUUUUAAAUGAAGUGAUUAACCAUUUAUCACUUAAUAAAAAAAUGAAUGAGACAAAGAAAGAAUGUAUAAUGGCUGAAAUUCAUAUUAACUAUUACCUCUGGGCUAAAAAACUCAUGAGAUCCAAUAGAAGCCCGAAACUUCCCUUUUAAAGGGUUUGUGGGCCCCAAACUAACUGUGUCACAAGUCUGAACAGAAAUGGAAAAAUCUUCAUCCACUACCCGUGAGUUAGUUGAAUUCAUGGGUCCUGUAUAUUUUAGAAAAAAAGUUUAUGGAUAAGUAUUUGGUUUUGUUGUAAUUUAUGGUUGAUAACAACCCUUGAGGUUUAGAUGAUUAACUAAGUGCUCACUACAAAAUGUUAUUUAUAGUGCAAUGACGUUAAUUGUUAUGUGCAUUAACUAAUGGAGUGAUUAAUUGUAUAACUUCGUGAUUAUCUAAGAAAUGUAUGUAUAGGCUUGAUUUCACUCAAUACUAACUUUCCUACAAAACAAACAGAAAAUUUCUAGUUUUUUCCAACUUGUUCAACGUGAGCAAUGCCAAUGUUUGGAUUUAUAAGUACAUUUUGAGAAUAAAAUUUAUCUUUAAAUAUAAGCAUUGUCUUAACAAGGAAAGGGUACAAUUUUUGGUACCAAAUAAGAUACUCAGAAUCUCACAUGAUGACAUUUACAAACAAUAUAUUAUAUUUUCCUCAAUUCUAUCUAAAAAUGACUAUAACAUACUAUAGAUUUAUUUAUUAUUUGAACAUUAAACUCAAUGCACAAAACCCAGGAAGGCCAAUGAUAACAGAUAGAUGGCCACAUGGACAUAGAAGUGGAAGCAGUAAAAAUAAAAUAAACCUAUCACUAAAUUGUGUUGUGCUAACUUGGGUUCCCUAGUGAUUUUCCUAGAAACAAAGGGAAUAGUCUUAAAGUCAUUAACCAGUGACUUGUGCAAGAGUUUAUCAAUUUUAGUGAGACCAGUGAGAGCAACACUAUCAGGAUCUUGUAAAAUUGGAUUAUGCAAAGGAUUCAAUGUUUAUAAAUAAUAUUAUUAAAUUUGUUAUGAUAUUGACAUACAUAUGACAUGAUAAAUAUAAUCAUUUUUAUCAAAAUAAAUAAAUAAAUAAAUAAAAUCAUAUUUUUAUCUUAUCAUACAUUUAUCUUGUUUUAUAUCAUAAAUUGUUUAUAUCAUAUUUUAAUUGUUAAAAAAUCCUAAGUUUUUUUUUUCAAAAUAAAUGUCAUUAUGAUAAUCGAAUGUACUAUCAGUUAAUUACAACUGUCGAAUCAAUUAAAAUAUUUGAUUUGUAUUUUAGCCACCUCUAAAAUCAUUAACAUGAUUAGUUGUGAUUGAUUAUCAAGGUCGUCUUAAUGUUUUUGGAGGCUCUAUUCAAAUUUAAAAAAUUAGACUCCUAUUAAAGAAUGUGAUUUAAUAGAUUAUCAAUCAUCUAUUAAUAAUGUUGUAAGUAAAUCAUUAAAUCAACAAUUUCAAACCAAUUGAAUUCUUAAAAUCAAUAAAUCUCAUAUAGUCUUUAUUCUUAGUACUUAUUUUGGACACAAUGUGCUAAUAUAUAAUUUUUAGGUAUUUAUUACGAGCACAAAGUACAAAUAUAAAAUUAUAUAGUAGUCAGUGUAAAAAUUAAAAAUAUCAAUACAAUUUUUCAAAAUUUAUGAUAUACUAUAAACAAAAAUUGAUGUCAUAUAGAUAUAUACCAAUGUUCUAGUUGCACAAUUAUCAACCAUGUUGACAACAUAAAACAUUUAAUAUUGAAAUUAAACUGCUAUUUGUUUAUAAAUACAUGAGUAUAAAAUUUCGUAAACUUAAAACUUACCUAUUUUAUUUUAUUUUAUAUUUUCAUGUUUUUGAGUAACUGAGCGGAAUGAAAUGUUGGUUAACAAAAAAAGGAAAAUGGUAUAAUGAUAUAAUGUUAUUGCAUGGUUAACAACAGAGUCAAUAUGUGUAAAUAACCAAAAAAAAAAUAAUCACAAUAUAUGUAUGUCUAUCGCAAGUCCUCAACUUAAAAAUUAAAUAAAAUUACUUUUUCUUUGCAAAAAGAUAAAAUUACAUUUGACUCACUUGAAAUGAAAGAUGUUUGAAUUGUAAUUUUCUUUUCUUUGAUGUUUUUUUUCAAAGACUAGAGACAUCUUUUUGACAAAAGAGGCUUUUUUUUGCGAUCAAUCUUCUUUUGGAAUUUUUUCUCUAUUUUUGGUCAAAAAAAAAUCCCUUUUUCUAAUUAACCAUAUUAAUAGCAAGCAGUUUUUAAUGUCAUUGCUAAAACAAAGUUUGGAAUGUGUCUAUUACCAACUAUAGAAAGAUCCUGCAAAAAAUAUAGAAAGAUAAAAGAUAAAGUAAAAACUUUUGACAAAUUUCUAAAGCCGAUAAAAGAUUAUAUAAAACAUAAUUUUUUUUCUCUAAAGUCACAAAUUAUUAAUUUAGUGUUCAAAAUUCCAUUGACAUUAAAAGUGUUAAAGAAAGAAAAUUCAAGUUUUUCUCAGGAGGAGUGUAAUUUACCCUAAGGAGUAUGUUCUACAUGUUUUUGUCAUAUAUAUUACAUGUUAUCUUCUUGUUUACUCAAUUACAUAGAAUUUUAAUACCUAUAUCGUACUAUUUCUCUAGAAAAUAAUUGUUUAUUUCUUUUGUUUUUAAUAAUAAUUGGUUUAACUUGAUAUUCCAUUUUAUUACUUUCUUAAUAAAUUAUAUAAAAAAGACAAAUGGAAGUGCAAUACAGCCAAUAUCAUCAAUUCGGUGGUAAAUAUCACAAAUUUGGUGAAGAAAUUAGAAUACACAAUAAAAAAUAAUAAUAAUGUUUGUAGAAUAAAAAUUAGUGUUUUGUUUUUCAAUGUUAUUUUUUAUUUUUAGUGGGAUGAAAAUGAAGAAAAGGUUUUAACAGAUACUUAUAUAAAGGAAUUCUUAGUUUAGAAGAAUAUAAAACAUAUUUAAGUUUCACCAAAAAAAAGUAUGUAUUGUAAAAAAUAACGUAUGUAACUUUAAAAUAUAGUAUUUAGAUAGUAUUGAUCAAAAUCGUUUUUUCAAUGUAUAAUUAGAUGGUACGAUUGGUUAAUAGUACAAAUUUGAUGUAACUAGUACUGAAAAUGAAUCCCAACCUCAUCCUAACAACUAAACUAUAACACGAUUACUAUGAAUAACUUACCUCCCAACUAACACACACUUAAUAAUAUGUAGAAUACCAAUUGCACACUUCAUAUCUUGUCUAUUAUAAACUUGUCACACUAUUACUCCAUGCAUGCCUAUAAAACUAUAUACAUUAAUGCUAAGUGUUGUGGAUAACUUUCACUGCAUAGAAAAUUAUACACAAGUUUAUCUAGCAAUUAACAAAGAAGAAAUAUGGGAGAAGAAGGUAUAGGGAGAGGUGUGACAAAGAAGGUGAACCCUGGGAAGGCUACUAUAUUGAGUCUUGGCAAGGCUUUCCCUCACCAGUUGGUGAUGCAAGAGUAUUUAGUUGAUGGAUAUUUUAGGGACACUAAUUGUGACAAUCCUGAGCUUAAGCAGAAGCUUGCUAGACUUUGUAAGUAUAUAUAAAUGUGAUUUCAUUUCAAUCACAAUUCCAUUGUUACACUUUAUUUCUUUUUGUUCUUAAAUAGUAGUAUGUUAUUUUGCAUAGUUACACUAAUAUGACUUCAUGUUGGUAUAAACAGGCAAGACAACCACAGUGAAAACAAGGUAUGUUGUUAUGUCUGAGGAGAUACUGAAAAAGUACCCGGAACUUGCCGUUGAAGGCGCUGCCACUGUUAAACAACGGCUAGAGAUAUGUAACAAGGCAGUGACACAAAUGGCGAUUGAAGCUUCCCAAGUUUGCAUAAAGAACUGGGGUAGAUCUUUAUCAGACAUAACUCAUGUGGUUUAUGUUUCGUCUAGUGAAGCUAGAUUACCUGGCGGUGAUCUUUACCUAUCCAAAGGACUUGGACUGAACCCUAUCAUUCAACGAACCAUGCUCUAUUUUGCCGGAUGCUCAGGAGGUGUGGCUGGUUUACGUGUUGCGAAAGACAUAGCUGAGAACAACCCUGGAAGCAGGGUGUUGCUUGCUACUUCUGAGACUACAAUUAUUGGGUUCAAGCCACCAAGCGCUGAUAGACCCUAUGAUCUUGUUGGGGUGGCACUCUUUGGUGAUGGUGCUGGUGCCAUGAUAAUCGGUUCAGACCCAGUAUCAGAAACGGAGACACCGUUGUUUGAGCUUCACACUGCAGCUCAAGAGUUUUUACCUGACACAGAGAAGAAAAUUGAUGGGAGGCUGACGGAGGAAGGGAUAAGCUUCAAGUUAGCAAGGGAACUUCCUCAGAUAAUUGAAGACAAUGUUGAGGGAUUCUGUGACAAACUAAUUGAUGUUGUUGGGUUGCAGAAUAAGGAUUACAAUAAGUUGUUCUGGGCUGUGCAUCCAGGAGGGCCUGCGAUACUGAAUCGCAUGGAGAAGCGGCUUGAUUUGUUGCCCGAGAAACUGAAUGCCAGUAGGAGAGCUCUCAUGGACUAUGGAAAUGCUAGCAGCAAUACCAUUGUUUAUGUGCUGGAGUAUAUGAUAGAAGAGGGCCUGAAGAUUAGAAAGGAAGGAGGAGGAGAUCCUGAAUGGGGCUUGAUACUUGCUUUUGGACCUGGAAUUACUUUUGAGGGGAUUCUAGCAAGGAACAUGUGUGCUUGAACUAUAAAACUAUUGUGCUACAAGGUUUAUUAACAUUGUUAUUAUUACUGUUAUCAUCGUUACAUAGGAUGUGUUUGUGAGAACAUCGCUUUCAAAAGCAAACUCAAAUUUAAUUAAUGAUCCAAUGAAGACUUUUAGUAUAUUGACUUAAUCCAAAAAAUUACUUUAAAGUAAGUUUAUGAACCAAAAUUUCAUUAAAUCGCGCUGCAAAGAAAAGAUCUACAGCAAUCCAAGACUCAGUAAGCAUGUGGAAUUGUUGUAACAAAACUGAAUUCUAUUAGUCUAAGAAAAUAAAGACUUAGGUAUAAAAGCACUUCCAACCAUAAUAAAUAACCUUACCUCAAACAUAAAAUAUAUUUAGUUUACUUUCAUCCCCAACUUUACACUUCCACCAAGGAACCGAAUAAGCAUGUCAACACAAAAUGUACUCUAAGUCUAACAUUGGUAACAACCAAACAUGAUGCCUGAUUAAGUUAAAAGAAAAUUUGAGGGUGUAGAUUAUCAAUCACACAACUCCGGAUGGAAGACGUAGAACAAGCUGUCCCCCGAAAACACUGCAAUUAAUUAAAAAUCAUUAGGACAACAGCAGAGUCACGCUGGAAAUUUCAUUACCAGCAAAAUCUGCAAGACGAAUGCAGAAAAACUAGUAGUAAAAAGAAAGAACAUUAUAAACUAUGCUAACCUUUUGACAUAAUAGUAACAGAAAUCUGCCAAGAUGAAGGUCUGGACAAUUUCUGAGAUAAGAACCAUUGACGGCCAUAACCCGUAACCCAAGGCAACCAACAAAUGUCCACGAGUAUCUAGCACCUGUUGCAAGAAAUAGUAUUCAAGUAAGCUACACAACAAAAGAAACGAGGCCAGAACAGCAGCAAUCAUGUAACCAGAUGACAAUCACUAAGAUGUAAACUUAAAGAGUCCGAACACACAAACAUCGCAAUUUAAUGAGUUGCUGCCAAUUUAAUGUAACUAGGAGAUUAAAUAUUUGGGUCAUCAAAUCAAUAUCUUUUGCAAAUACAUGGUAAGACCGCCUUAUCAGUUGUAGCCUACAACAUAUGCACAGUGGGUUUGACGUGUUUGACCCUUACAAAAUGGCAAGAGCUAUACAACAUACAAGUUUCCCUUUAAAAAUGGCUUAGUUAUACUUAUGCCAUUGAAAAAGAGAAACUAAAAUUAAUCAAAUAAUGUUCAUAUUCCACUCCAUCAACAGGAAAGAUAAUUCAGAAAAAUCUAUAAUUAUAAAUUCGCAAAUGAAUCAAAGGACUGACAAAUGAAAUUACAAAAUUUCAUGAACAGACCUGAAGAACCCAAUGAGCACAGCUCAAGAAUCUUGCUACGCCGAGUGCAAAUACAUAAUGAGCGGUGAAUGGCUCAACAAUCUGCAAGUACAAAAUGAAACAAUUCAGAAGGAAAGCAAUAGAAUUGGAUCCCAUACAUUAGAUGGUGGACAUAGAUCUUGGAGUUGGAAAACUAUACUUUGGUGUUCUGCAUAACCCGCAGUUGGGGUAGUACUGAAACAGCUUCCAGAUAUACACAGAAUGCCCAAAAAAUCCUGUUCAAUAUAUGAUGAGAAGUUGAUGGAUGAAUAAGUAAGGCUAACACGGCACAUGGUAUCACCUGCAUCCAUUUUCAAAAGUAUAUCAAUAUGAUGCUGUUGGAAGGUAAAUCCAUAAGUUACAAGCAGAAAGUGGCAAAAUCACAGCAUUUAAGAAGAGGUAUAAUUUAAAUUCUUAAUAACAUGCAGAGAGUAUAGGAACAAAAUACGGGAGGAUUAAAAGGAGAGCCGUGUUCAAAUGUGAUUGCAUCAGUUUUUGUUUGAUGACAUGGCACUUUGGUUCUUUUGCAUGUAUAUACAACAUCGCUCCCCUCCCAAGCCCAAAAACUAUAGUGUGCAGGAAUAUGAUGAGUUGGAAUUCUUUGUUCUCAGAACCGCAAGCUACAUUUAGAGAUUAGAACUAACAAGUCCAUUUUGCAUGAUAUCAUGCUUCACGAUACUAUUAUCGCAUGUAAUUCUACGGAUUCCAGAUUUUGUAAUCAUAUUAUUCAUGCGGAAGGAAAUUUGCUUUGUAUUGUAAAGACUCGGUGAAAAUAUAAUAUUUCAACUAUUGUCAAUAUAUACUACCAUUUCACACAAUUUCAUAAUGUCUAUCAUCUAACAAUACUGUAUUAAACACUCAAACUAAUAAUGCCAUUUACCAUAAAAGAGUAGGAAAAAAUGUUUCACCUUUGACACAACAAUAUAAAGAAAGCUAGGCUUUAAAAUUUAGGAUGAAAAAAUUGGAGCUUACCACAUAGUAUAUUGCAAAGUUAUCCUUCUCCUCCAUGUAACUAGCCUUAAGUUUAAAACGAAUCAUAUAAAUAACCCACACCGUAGUCACAAAAGUAGCCAAAUCAAGUAUGGUGUGUAUGUCAUAUUCCAUGACAAAGCUGCAAUACAGCCUAACAGCUAAGAACAUAGCUGUUAAUUCCUGGGAUUUGAGUGAUAAUCCUGCACAUCAUUCAAAACCAUUAUCAAAAUCCAAACAAAAAAAAAUAAAAUUUUUUAUUUAUACACUCUCUUAUUGAUCCAAAAACAAGUGACAAUACAUAGAUUAAUCCAACCACAAACACAAAUGAAAUUAACCCAACAAUGCCAAUCUAAUUGACGCCAUGGAGAAUUAAGGACAAAAUUCCAAUUUUUGUGAAGGAAAUCUAAACAGAUAAAAAUCCCAAAGAAUUGAUCUUUUUCCUUACCCGUGUUCUAAUUUUUUUGCCUGAGAAUUCCAACUAAGUAAAAUUAAUUUUUGAUAAAACUGAAAAGGGGGAAUUUUUAACCUAGCCAAUUCACAAAAACCCAAGAAAGCAAGAUACAAAUUCAACCCUAAACACAACAAAAAUCAAUUUUAUUUUUCAAAUCAAAGGGGAAAAAACAAGGGAUUUAGAGUGAACAAACCGGCACAAGUCUUCUCCUUCAUGAGUUUAUAGAUAAGAACGGAAAUUCCAAGAGAGUGAACAGCCUCGGCAGCAACGAAAAGGUUAUCGUGAUCGUGAACGAUGAAUCGGAGGAGGACGAGAGCGGCCAUACCGGAAACAACGGCAAGAAAAGCCUUGACCUUUGGAGGCUGUCGCCUGACCCAUGUGGAGAUAGCGUGGAUCGACGUUUUCUGAGGUCUCAUGGUGAUGAUGAAUGAAAUUAGGGUAUCGCUGAUUUUGGUAGCUGCGUAACUUUUUUUUUUAAUUUAUUUUUAUUUCUUGAGAGUUUUGAAAAGACAAGAGAACAGAACACAAAGACAGUUCAAUGGCCCAAACUGCAACCGUGGUAACAAACGAUUGGAAGGAUCUUUGGAUUUGAUGAGGGGGAUGAUAGAGAUAAAAAUAUUAAACCAAAACAAAACAACUUAAAAGUAACACAAAAUUUUAAGUAGUAAUUGUGUUAGGUUCAAUAAAUUAAAUAUUAAUUUCCAUGUUUUGAUUAAAGUAUAUUUGACUUUAGAGAAAAGUAAUAAAUAUAUUAUAAAUUAGGUGAUAUAAAUUAUGAGUUAUUCUAUAAAGAUUAUCUUUCAUCAAUGAUAUGAGAAAGGAAAAUUGGUAGAAUUAAAAAAAAAAAGAGUAAUAAAUAGUAAAUAAUAUAAUAGAAGUAUAAUUUAAAAUGGAGUGAGUAACAAUUAACAAAUAAGAUAGAUGACAUUAAACCUAAAGUUACUUUGUAAAAUUCUUUUAUCAUUAUGAAAAAGAUGUAUCCAUCAAAUAUACGUAUUCAAUUUGAAUCUUAUUUAUCUUUUUUUAGCACCAGAAAUUUAAGUCAUUCAUGUAUUUAAAAAAUCAAUUCAUGUGUCAAUUGCUUAACUAACAAGAGACACUUUUUUGACUAAAUUGUAGUGUAUUUUUUUAUUUUUUGCUUUAUGCAUUAUCUUUGCAAAUGAUGUAAGUGGAAUAAAUUAAAUUUUUUGAUAAAACUUAUUUUUAAUAAUAUUUUUUUAUAGGUUUCUAAAAUAAAUAAAUUUAAUAUUAUAAAAUAAGAUUUGACUCCUCUAAAUUAAAAAGUUAAUGAAAUAAAUAGUUUAAUAGUUGAUAUUAUAAUCACUCAUAAAUAUACACAUAUAUGUAUUUUAAUUGCUUUUGUAUAUAAACAUUUUAUUAUCAAUUCUACUAGUUAUUUAGUUAGUUUAUAUUGUUAGACUUAAUUUUAGUUGAAUAGUUAAUUUGUUAAUUAACUAACUAAUAUAUUUUUUUAAAUCAAAUAAAUAUAUUAAAAAAAGUUAUCUAAUGUACAAGGUGUAUCAAAGAAUGAUAAGUAAAUAUACAAAGUUCCAACCAAAUGCCGUAUAAAAUGGGCUUCUUAUUUUUUUCAAUACCCAUUUUUUUAAAAAAAUUAUUAAAAAUAUUUUCUUUUUAAAAUUAUAUAUUAAAAUAUUCUUUUAAAAUUCAUCCACAAGUCAUUGUUGUAAAUGGCGACUUUUUUAAAGAAACUUGAAUUUGCAAAUGCACUUUCAUAAAUAAUUUUUUAAAAAAAUCAACCUUUUUAAAUAAAAAAAUUAUUUUUUUUUAAUUUACUUAUCUUUAUUUUUCUCUUAUUAACGACUUAAAUAAAAAAUUGCAAUAUAUAUCAGAAAAAUAAUUAUUUUGUUAUAUUUUUUAACUUUUUCUUGAGAACAUUUUUAUCAAAGUUUUGUUGAAUUAUUUAUUCUCUUUUAUUUAAUCUUUGAAUAUUGAAAUUUUCUAUAAAAAAUAUAGAUUAAUCUAAUUCGUUUUUCCAACCAUUUUUUUUUAAUCAUCAGAAAACAUUUUUUGUCCUUCACGAAGCAAGAACCAUAUAAUUUCCAAUAUCAUUCAGCAACGAAGGAAGAGCAAGGAUAUGAGUGGUGAAGAUAAACAAUUGUGGAAUGACCAAGAAUCUCAAGCAACGGAUCAUGCAUAGAAGAAGAUGGAAAAUACAUCAAAUUAAUCUUCCAAAGUAAAAUAAAUAAGUAAAUAAAAAAAAAAAAAAUUAUCGAAAUCAACUACCAUCGUAAAACAAAGUAUUGUUUAUAAAUUUCUGACAAGGCUUUCGGGAAAUAAACAAAAAAGUCAAGUGAAAAUGAGUUUGUUACAAAAGUAGAUAACAAGGUCAAAGUGUUGAUUAUAAAAAAUAACAUCAGAUUUAUUAGUUGAAUAGUGUUGUUUAUUACAAGUAGUGAUAUAUAGGUUAUUAUCUAAAAGGAUUAGUUACUUUCACGUAUGAUUUUUGUGUUUUUUUGUUAAUAUCAUUGUAAUCAUAAAUAAUUUUUUUAUUCAAUUUUAGUCUAAUUAAGAUUUUAAUUAAGUCUUCUCAGAAAUUCAUUCUUGAUAUUUUUCAAAUUCAAAUGUAAUAAACAUUUUAUAAUUUGAAAGAUAAAAUAUCAAAUUUAAGUGUAAUAAACACUUGAAAGAUAUAUUAGAUAUCUAGUUAGUGUAUAUUGUUAGACAAAGUCUUAGUUAGUUUAUUAACUAACUAACUAUAUUAUAGUUAAUAUUAAUUAGUUAAUUAAUUGUCUUAAUUAAUUAUUUAUCUAAUUAGUUAUAUCAAUUUAUGUGUUUUUGAUGUAAUUCAUUUUUUUAAUUUUUAAUAUUAUUCAUUUUUUUUUUAUUUUCUCUUUUAUCAAUAAUUUUUAUUUUCUCUUUUAUCAAUAACUUAAAUAAAAAGUAAUAAUAAACAUAUUACAUUAAUCAGAGUAAAAGUAAACUAAGUUGUUUUCUUUUAAACAAUAUCUCAAAUUAAAGACUACUCAUUUCAACUUAUUGCAUCAUUUCAUGAAAUGAUGUCACAUUUUAUUUAAAAAGAUCUUAAACUAUCUUGAUAAAUAUCUACAUCGAUUCAAUACAUAUGUAAAAAUGUAUUAUGUAAUUAAAUCUUUAAAAUAUAUGUAUAAUGUGAUUCUUCUUAUACAUUUGUUUAUUUUAGUCGGUGUACAUGGAUUGUUUUUUUAAUCAAUACAUGGUUUGUUAAUAUUGUUUUAAAAAUAAAGAUUAAUAAUGUAAAUUAAAUUAACGAGGAUAAAAAAUGAGAGCAAAAUUAUAUUUUAUAGGACUGUUUGAUAGCAAAAUAACAUAUAUUAUUAUAUCUUGUUUGAAUAUUAUUUUUUAUGAAUAAAAAAAUAUGAUAAAAUAUUAUCCAAUUCUAUCAUAUUUUGUUUUCGUAGUUAUAAUUAUUAUCUUAAAUAUGAAGUAAGUUAGAAAUCAACAGAAUAAGAACAUUAAAUUAAUCAGUCGUUUUUAUAAAAUAUAAUUUAAAAUAUACACCACUGAAAUCUAAUAAAAUAUAAAUAAAAAUAAUAAAUUUUAUUAUUAAAUUUAAAAUUAAAAUAUUUUUAAUUAAUUUUAAAAAACUAUAAGAUUUAUCACAAGAGUAGUUUGUCAUUUUAUAUAAUCUAAUAAACUAUUAUUUAAAAUUAUAAAUUUUGAAUAUUAAAAUAAAUAUAAUUUUUUACAAAGGUAAUUUUGUCAUUUACAUAUAAUAUAUACCAUAUUAACAAAUAAAAUAGAAUUAUUUAGUUAUUUCAUGAUUGUUUUUUAAAUUAAAAUUAUUUAUUUAGUAGUGCCAGUGAAUUUCUUUUAUAUAUAAAAUCAUUCAAUAGUUAUUUAAUUUUUUAUACUAUUUUUUUGUUAAUUUAUAAUUUUUAAAAGUAUUGUGUAAUUUUAUUUGAAAAAAAUAGUAUAUAAUUAUUUCACAAUGAUUUUUUUUCUUCAUUAAUUCACAAUGAUAAUUUUGUCAUUUAAAUAUAAUAUAUUAUAUCAUAUCAUAAUGAAAUGAGGUGUGUUCCAAAUAAAAAUGACUUGAUAAGAGGUGUGUUCCAAAUAAAAAUGACUUGAUAAGAGGUGUGUUCCAAAUAAAAAUGACUUGAUAAGAGGUGUGUUCCAAAUAAAAAUGACUUGAUAAACAUAUAAUAGAAUAAUGUUUAUCGCAUCAUUAUCUUAUCUUUAUCUUGCUUUAUAUCAUAUUUUAUCUCUAUCAUAUCAUGCGCAUCAAAUAAGUCUUAUAAGUUAUAAAUAAACGUAUAGUAAAGUCAGAUUACUAAUUUAUAGGCAAUAACCUAAUAAAAUCAAAAGAAUGUGUUUAAGGUUAUAUUGUUUUCCAUAAGCAUUCUUCUAUCUUAUAGGCUAUUAUUUUUUUCUUUCAAUUUUAUGAUGAGUUAAAAUAGAAUCAUUAAUAGUUAGCAUUGUUUGUUUUAAAAUAGAGAGGUUAUGGUCCCCAAAUCAUACACCAAUAACCAUAUUUUAUUUUUUACAUCUCAUUUUCACAUUGAGAGUCUAUGUUCAUCAAGAAGGUCAAACUUUGGUUAUCGUGAAUUCAUGUACUCUUCCAUAUAAAAAGGUUUAAUUUGGUUCAAACCUUUUAAACUUUUAAAAAAGUAGAAAGAUGUUUUUUCAGUCAAAGAUUAUUACAAUUUACAACAGUAAGGAUUGAGACUAGAUAUUGGCAUCGUAUGAAGGAAGGAAUGAUGUACUGAUGUUAAUGUUACUAUCUCACAUGCUAUAUAGUAUGAUGACGCCAACCAUCAACAAGGCUACAUUGAUUACAUUCUAUAUUGUCUAAUGCCUUGAUAAUCCUAAUUGGUAACAAUAAUAACAAGGCAUUUGGCUCUCUAUACAUGAUCUAACUGUACAUAUCAUCUACUAAGAAAUUCAUGCAUUUCCUAACAACUUUGGACAAAAGCAACAAUCAAUUCCUAAAAACUCCUAACGUAAUGCAUCUCACGAAGAGAAUAUACUCAAAAAAAUUGAACUAAAAAUGUUUAUGAGCUUUACAGUGUUUCACCUUGCCCUUCUUCCCUCGACCAUUGCAUUCACCAUGUAUUUGAUCUUCUGUGUUGAGGCCUUAGGAGUUUAUCUUCCUCAAAGGCCACCAUACGCAAAUGCGAUGGAUCAUUUAGCAUCUCCCUAGCCACUAAGUAUCCAGCAAUGGACCAAGUUUGGAGUUUCCUGGCUUGCUUCCCAAUGUAUCUACCAUGCUUUCCAUCAUAAUAUUCAGGCCAGUUGUCCUUCAAUAAUCUUGUUUCAGUUAUGUCAAGGGCACGUCUUGCAAUAUGGGGCCUUCCUGUUUUGAUUGAUGCCGCAGUAAGAAGCCAUAAAAGAACUGGAACCAUUGUGAUGGGGAGAAGAUUAUGUGAAACAUAAGUAAAUUACUAUGAUAGAGAGAAAAUAAAAUGCUAGUAGGUGAAUGUGUAUUUCUAGAAACAAUGAAAAUAAUUCUUUUGGUUUUUUCAUUGUUUUUGUUAGAGUGUCUUAUUUCUUUGUUAACAAGUAAAAUUAACACAAAUUUUAUAAAAGAAAAAUAGAAAAUGUUUUCACAAAAUAGACUCUCAAAUUGGAUGAAAUUUUUGUAGAUACAAAAAAAUAAAAUAAAAAUUAUCAUAUUUUGGAAACUAAAAGCAUAUUUAAGUCUUUAGUAAUAGAUCAUAAAAGGCUUGUAUUCACUGGCUGCUAGAAACUCAGAACUGUAACAUGGUUCCAUGCAAAUGGGGCCUAAAGGCAGAAGAAUAUAUACCUGGCCAGGAUCCACCAUUAUGAUAACUCCAUCUUGUAUUUUUGGGAUCACAUCCUGUUAUGAUCCUCCAUUCAUGAUUUUCAAGUGCUGGGUAGCAAAUUUUUGCAGGCAUCUCUCCAAUCAAUGCAUCCCAACGUGAUUCUAUAAGAUCCAUGAUUGCAAUGGAUUGCUCAGGAGUAGCCAAGCAUGACAAAAUUGCAAUGCAAUUACCAAGGCAAAACCACCGGAAAUCCAUCCUAGCAGGACUUACAUUCCCAAUGAAGUAACCUCCAUGAUGAGGCAUGAAAUCAAAAAUCCAAUCAGGUAGAGAAUCAGGAAUUACAUUGAACUUGUUAACUGCAGUAUGCGAGUACUCUUCUGUUUUGUACCUAUAUACAUCGUUAAGUUGCUUUAAAUCCAACCAAAAAUAGUUUCUCAGAUGAUAGCUUAAGGCAUUCAAACGUGACACUAUUCUUUCCAUGAACUCCUUCCCUUCAUCAUCUUGCUUAAGCAAAUGCAUGGCACACCUUAAAGCCAUGUAGAACAGUGCUUGAAUUUCAAUUGGAUAACCAUAAAGACCCUGAAAACUUGGUCAAAAAAUGGAUGUAAGAAACUUUGAUGAAGUGUUUCUAAAUGUAUAACCUACACUUCAAUUCUUCAUAUUAAUGGUAUGUGUAAUGUCUGACGCGUGUCAAUGUCCAUUGCUAACACGACACAGACACAUGUGAUUACAUUUAAUUACUAUUUUUUUUUAAUGUUCGUAUCAAUGUCUCAUAUUUGUGUUUGUGUCAGUGCUUCAUAUAAUCGUAUGUUGCACUCUUUAUAAAUCAACAAAAUAAUCUUUCCCUAUAACUAAUUCCUUAUUUUUAGUUUCUAAACAAUGUAAAACAUGAUGGUCUAUCAAAAUUAGAACAAAAGUAUAGUACUUACCAUUCUACGAUCAAUCAUGCAGCAUCCAUCAGCACAUAGUAGAGUUGGAAACGUGUCAAAUCCUUCUGCAAGGCAUAAAUUGAGAAUCAAACGCAUACCCUCCUGACAUUCAGCAGUUUCAGACAAGGAAACGUCUCCUGUAGACUUUGUGUAUGCACGAAGUAAUAUAAUCCACCAAAAUCCAGAAUCAACAGGAGCAACCCUGCCUAUUGCACUUCCACCAAAGUCAGCAUCCAAUGACUCACUGUUCUUUCCUGGUUCACGUUUCACCUUAAAACUAGCUGGCAUUACACCUGCUGAUAGGUGAAACCUAUCAACUGUUUUCGUCGAUGAUUGAAGGCGAAGAGUAGUUUUCAGAAAAUUCUUAACAAUGCCAUGUUCCUUCUUCAUCAGAAAAGCAAGAGCGCUGGGCACAAAGUCUCUAACAAACACCUAGACACGUAUAUAGACAAUACCAUUUGUUAAGUCUCCCAAUAACAACUCAAAAGGGGUGUGAUAAAAUAAGCAUAAUGAUCAAAGUCACUGAUCUAGCUUGACAAUGCAAGUAAGAAAGAUGAAAAAGGAUACAUAAAUAGAAACUAAAAAAUAAAGUCAUUCAUUUACCUAUAUUCUAGCUUAUGUAUCUGAUUUAAUAUAUGAUUCAAGCUAGAAAGAGUAAACAAUCAAUUUAACAUAGGGUCAUACAAUUUAGUCAUUGAAAUUAGCAAAAUUCAAAACUUAUUCAUAAAACUAAAGACCUUUGAUUACACUAAUCCGUCGUAGACAAUGUGAGGAACUAAAUUGACAACCUGAAAGGACUAGUAUAAUAGAAGAUUAUCAAUUUCAAAAUCAUUUUGAAAUUUCGAUAAAUUCAGGAUAAAAUUGUCCAUCGUUACAAUUUAAUAGACUAAUUCGUAAUUCACUCAAUCAAACCAGUAGUAAAUGUAAAUCCAUCAAAGGCAUGGCUUAUUGUACUUGGACAGGUAAACUGAAUCACACUAUAUGAAACGACUUGGAGAAGGUAAUUUUCACAAUCUCGCUAUCAUCAUUCACCUAGUAUAUUAACACAAAAGUUGGCUAAAUUUUGCUGAGAAAAACAAGAAAUAGAUGCAUUAAUUGAAUUUAAUUAGAAGAUAAGAACAGUGUGGCACCUGAUCAUAAUUAAGUUUCUCAUCAGAAGAAUCCAAAGCAGCAAUAGUACCAACAGGGACACCGCGAAAAUACACCAAGGAGUGUCUCAUAGAUUCCCAAGCUUCAGAUAUCAUUGGUUGUGGAUCCAAUGGUAAUGAUAUUUGAGAAAACAAAGCUGAGUUUUGCAGAAGAGGAUCUGCCUUAUUAUUAUCAGAAUGUUCCACCUUGUUAGAAGAGUUCUCUGCAAUUUGGGUGCAAAAUAGUGGACCCACUGAUCCUCCUCGAUCCAAUGGUUUCAAUGAUCUAUCCAUAAGUAUUGCAAUUUCACUAGUAAUGUAACGAUCAAAUUCUGCAAUUAGGUCAAAAUUAUUACUUUCAUGCUCUUGUGAGUACUAAUUAAAUUCCAUAUUUGGUAAUUAACACUUAAAAGACCAUGAAAUUUUGGCUUAUGAUUUAAAACAUACAUAAUUUUAUAGAUUCCUAAAAGCAAGAAACUGAUGCAUCAUUCUUUUUCCCUAAUAGUACGUAACACUCUUAUUAUGCACCAAUCUUUUUCCCUAAAUAAAGGAAACCCGAAUCACAUGAAACCAAUACAUACACACACACAAGCAUUCAUGUAAUCAAAUAUUAGAAUGAGAGAAAACCAUUAAGAAAUAAAAGAAAAAGAAAGAAACGCAAAAUGAUGAAGAUGAGGAGCUAGGAAGGACGGCAACAAAAAGAGCAUGAGUGAUUAAUGGAAACAAGAUCAAAAGAAGAAGAUAUGCAUGGAUGCAUAUUGAAUAUAUUGAAGAACAUAUAGUAAUAAUAAUAACAAUAAUUAAGAGGUAACAUUGGAAUGAAGAAAACUAACUCCAGAAAUUGAAUGAAGAGAGAAAGAGGGUGCACUGAGCAGUAGCCAAGAGAACAAGAACGUGAGUGUGGGUUUCUUGCUUUGAACGUUCUCUUUUUGUAUUUUGGCGGUUGCUUUCUUAUAUUUUCAAAUUAAAUUUAUUUAAACGUGAAUAUAAAAAAUAAAAUACAAACACUUAAUUUGACAUCAUGUAUAGUUAUCUCUAACUCUUCUUAUUUUUUAUUAUUUCGAAAGAGUGUGCACUGUGCAGUAGCCAAGAGAACAAGAACGUGAGUGUGGGUUUCUUGCUUUGAACGUUCUCUUUUUGUAUUUUGGCGGUUGCUUUCUUAUAUUUUCAAAUUAAAUUUAUUUAAACGUGAAUAUAAAAAAUAAAAUACAAACACUUAAUUUGACAUCAUGUAUAGUUAUCUCUAACUCUUCUUAUUUUUUAUUAUUUCGGACUUACACACAAGAGUCAAAUUAAAUAAAAAAUAAUUUUCAAUAAAGAUUUUCCGUUAUUUAUUUUUCAGUUUAAUGUUUUUUAGUAUUAAAAAAUGAUUUAAUUUCUAUGUAUUGUAAUCUAAAAACAUUUAUGCUAUCAUAACAUUAUUGGAUGUAUAUGUAAAUAGUUUUAUGAAAAAAAAAUAUUUCGAAAAAUACUAAGCUAAAGAAGUCAAACUAUAUAGAUCAUCUAAAAGCAACUCUUAGACGUACCUUAUUGUCCAAGAAAGAGAUACAUUAGGCCAUUUGUUUUGAAAAUCAAGUUGGCGUUGGACUAUCUUUGAGCUCGACCUCAAGGUCGUGUAAAUAUGGUUAUGUUUUUUCUCAAUCUCUUAUACAAAAUAUCUCAUCUAUCCUAAAGUUUCCAUGGUAUUAAAAUUAACACCAAUAAAUAUAUUUUUCAUUACAAUCAACGGUAAGUCUCUAUUAUUUAAAAGACAAUACUAAUAAUUUUAUUAUGUAAAAAUAAUAAUUUUUAACAUAAGUAUAAUAAUAAUAAAAAAAAAUUGAAAAAAAAAAAAGUGUCUGUGAGCAGUCCACUAGUGAAACCCUUGAACCUAUUAUUCGCGCCUCGUCAUCUUGACCUCGCCUCUCUUCCCUCCUCCCUGGUUCGAGUGCUCCUCUCGUCCGUCGUAUUCGUCUUUUGCCUGCGCCUCAGGUUGCUUCGUUAACAGAGUACAUCUUCAAUCAUUUUUCUCUCUCUCUCUCUCUCUCUCUCUCUCUUUGUUAGUAAAUAUGAACUAUACCUAUCUUAAUACUUCGGGUUAACAGAGUAAAACCUCAAAACAUUAUCUCCUUCGUCAUUUUCAUGCUUUUUUCUUCUUCUCCGUUUUACUUUAAUAUAGGUAAAUCUUAAAUAUAGUUGAUUUUAGUGAUACGAGCUUAAACCCUUAACGUUUUUUGUUCCACUGUAGGGUUUAUCAUUAUACGCAUAAUUCAGAAUUCCUCCUAAUUCAAAUAAAAUUCGACAAUGCCCGAUUUGGAAUCAAAUUCCAAGACGCAAAGCCGUAAGCGAAAGCAGAAAAUCGAUGAUGAAUCCCAAAAACCUUCUAAACUGCAUCGUUUGGAGAAGUCUCAGGACCCUGGGAAUUUUUCCACUCCUUGGAACAAUCUUCAAUUGAUACUCUGCAUCCAAGACAAACACCUUGAUCUUCAAAGGUUAUUUUCUGUUAUUUUCAACCAUCUUUAUAUUUUGUUAUAUAUGCAACAUGUUUUCAAGUAAUCAAAUCCUUUUAACAGUGUGAUGACACUGAGAUGUUUUUUGUGUGUGUUAGUGCAGUAAGGUCAAUCAAGCAUUCAGUUUUGUUCAUUCAAGGGUGGAUGAUGGUGUUGACAAUGAUCAGCAUUGUGAAACUAUAAAACUACCAAGACUACUAUGUUACCUUAAUGAGUGGAUCCUGACAGUGUUGUUCCCUCCAAAUGGGAAGGAAAACUGGGGCGAUGGGAAAACACCCAAGCUUGAUGGAAUUGAGGCAUAUAUGGAUCUUCGUUGUUGGGAGAUUUUCAAGUUUUGCUUGCAGGAGUCUUUGAAGAUUCAUGUCUCUCUGAAUAUGUCGCGAAACAUUCUACAGACUGUUCAAUUUAUUGUCAGAAAUAGUCUGUUCCUGCUAGAGGACUUAUCUACAUGUUCAGGAGAAGAUUUUAAAUCUGAUGAAAAGUUUAAACGGUAUGAUACUGCUCUUGAUUGUGUUUCGUUGGUGUUCUCAUCCCAUGGUGGUUUGUCAAAUGAAAAUUUGGACUUAUGGGUUGAAACGACUGGAGCAGCGGUUGAGCUCGUCCUAAAAAUACAUGGCAAGAACCUUGACGGAAGCUGUGUGGGUUCUUUUGCAUUACGCUCUUUGUGGUUGGUGCUUCAGCCUUUCUCCAUGUUUUUGAGGGUCCAUCCAGCUAGGAAAGGAUUUCAAAAUUUUGUGGAUAAACUUCUCGAGCCAUUGUUGCAAUUGUCAGGCGAGUUGCAACUUCGGGUUAAUGGAAGAGAUCCCAUUUGGACAGGGAGAUUGAUGAAGGUGGUGGAAGAAGUUCUUACUCAUGGACUUUUUCACCCAGUUCAUAUUGAUGAAUUUUUAAGCUUAAACGGUUCAGAAAAGUAUGUCGCUUCAUGUGAUGAUAAACCUAAAGAUUCAAAAGCCUCUAUUAAGAGUUAUCAUAGACAUUUGUUUGAUGUGCUGAACAAAAUUAUAUCCAGAAAGAAUGCUAUAGCAAUGGGUAGCUUAGGUUUGUUAUUUCGCUUGUAUGCUGAUUCUGCAAGAAAGUUCAAGGGAACUUCAGUUUUGUAUGAAGGGAACAAUACAAUGGAGAAAAUAAAUGAUUUAAGGCAACCUGUGUCAGGAGAAACUUCUAGCUCUAAUAAUAUUUCUGUAGAUACUCAAAAAUCCCUUUUUAAUUUUUUGGUACUGAUUAUGGAGCCUCUUUUGCUUGAGAUUAAUACCUGUCUCCAAGCUAAAAUAGAUGCCGAACUGCUUUUUUCUGAUCUUUUUGGUAUACUGAAGUCUAUUGGUAAUUUGCUUGCUAGUUUUCUGCAAGAGAAAGUAUAUGUAAAAACAGAGGACACAUCUGGAGGAGCUUGUCUUAAUUUCUUGAAGAAAAUAUUCAGUUCAUUGAUAGCUAGUUCCACUAGUGUACUCUGCUUGUCCAACUAUGAUACAAAUAACAUGAAGGGGGCGGAAACAUUUAUUUUAGCAGCUAACGAGAUAUUAGUUGCAAUGGGUUAUCUUUUGGAAAUUGAAUAUGAGGUUAUUGGAGAAGAUUUGGUGAAUUUAUGGUUUAUUUUGUUAUCAUACUCUGCCAUCAAUUGCAAUUUGUCAAAUGCUUUUGAUCGAUGCUCAUUAUCUUCCACCAUUCCUGACUUGGGGUGCCAAAUAAUUAAUCUCUACAGUCAACUUCGCCAGGUUUGUAUCAAAACCCUGAAUUCCAAAGAAAUUAUGUGUUAGAGGUUUGCAUGGAUAUUUCCUUGUGAUUUGAUUACUGUACUUUGUGUGUCGGUAACUCGUACUAAUUCUAGGUAUGACUAUUUGGCAGAGGGAAGGGAAAUGAUGGUCAGGGAAAAUCUUAAAGCAAGUUGUUAUAUUCACAAUUUAGUGAGCUAACGUCACAUUUUGUCUGUUAAAUGAUGUAGGUACAAAUUGCCAUCUUAACAUUGUGCAAAGCACUUAGGCUUUUGACUUGUGAUGCUGAAGAAAGUUCUUCUAAGUUCUUGACAUUUAUAUCUAAUGAUGUUUAUUCCGAAUCAGUUGAAAGGAUGUUAUCUUCACAUAAGUUCAUCCACACCAUUUAUAAAGCCAUGGAAUCUAUUCCAGAAGGGCAAGUGAGUGGUUUUAUUAAACAGAUAACAGAUGAUAUAUCUGAAACUCUUAGGUGGAUGAAAGACUGCUCUCCAUUGGUUGAUAAAAACAAAUUACGGAUGAUUAAUCUGCAGGCAGAGCUCCUGGGUAGAGGGCUCUCUAGACUGUAUUCUUUAGUGCUUGAUUCAGCCACUAUAACUGAAGGCAAUAGCAAUCUUCUUGGAGUUGCUGUUAAAGAACUUAUGUCAUUGUUGCGUCCCUACUUGAGUAUUCUAGUUAUACAACAAACAGAUACUAUUUGCAAGUUUUUUUCAUCUGUAAUAGGAGAAACUGUUGAUCAGGUUGUUGGAAAGGGAAAGGUUUUGAAGAAAUUUGGUAGGUCCAGUCAAUGGGUCUUUGUGUUCUUUUUUCAGUUGUUUGCAUCCAGCCGAAGCUUGCUUAGGCAAGCAAUCAGCCUUAUGCCUCCCAGUUUAUCAAAAAAAGUGUCUGCCGAGAUGGGGGAUUACUCAGCAUAUUCUGCCUUUGAGUUGAUGGAGAAGACUGAUGAGACUGACAUCAGUUUCUUUUCAUGGAUUGUCCAACCUUCUGCUUCCCUUCUUGUUGUUAUGCAAUUAAUUUCAGACUUCUAUCUAAAGUAUGGCUUCGACGAUUCUUCCCCUCUGGUUUAUAUAUUUCAGUCUAUGGCUCUUCAGAGGCUUGUUGACUUGAAUAGGCACAUUAUAUUGUUGAAUUAUUUGCAAAAGAAACAUUAUAAAUCACGAAUCAAGGCCUUGAAGGAAGAAGCUACUGGACUUACUAGUUUUAUCAUGGAAAACUUAUCAUGUGUGUAUCAAUCCCCGAUCUUUGUUUCUGAUGAUGUAAAAUGUGAAGAUUUAGUUUCUUUGGCUCCUCAAAUCAACAAAUGGAAUCAGGGAAUUUAUGUUGCUAACAAAAAUUCAUUGCCAAUAGCCAUUUGGUCAAAUCUCUGCAAAAAUAUUGAUAUUUGGGGAAACCAUGGUUCCAAGAAACAGUUGAAAAAAUUCUUCUCACAUUUACUUCGUACUUCCCUUCACUGUGCAUCAAGCAGUUUGCAUGACCUAGACAUGCAAGAUGAGUGUAAGCUACUCAAGAGAGUCACCUUGCCGCAUAUAUCAUUAGACCUUCUAAGUGAUUCAAUUUUGUACGAACAAAAGGUAAGAUGCUUUGGUUAUACACAAUUUUUAUGUUUAUCUCGUACACACUCACACACAGAGACACACUCAUGAGUAAUCUAGUAAAGAAUUGCAUAUUAAUCUUUUUGCCAGUGUUUGUUUCAGCUUAGUUCUGAUUUAUGGAAACUUUAAUUUGUUUCUAGUUUGAUGUGAUGCUUUGAGUAAGAAAACGACUAUAUCUAUAGGUAUUCAUUUUAUGUUGUUGUUUUAGUUUGUCCACAGGAAUCUAGCCACAAUCUUUUGCAGUGCUUUAGAGAAAUCUGUAUUACCAUUGUUUAGUAAUAUUGCAUGUACUGCUGUCGAGCUUCAGUCAGCACCUAACUGGAUAGAGUGUUUAAGUGCCCUCGACAACUCAGCACUUGUAAAAAAUAAAGAGGUUCCAGUUGAAAAGCUAGCCGCCCAUUCAUCUGACAAGCUUAAUGCAGAUAUCAGCAGCAGAGAAAAUGCCUCCCCUCUUACCAUCAAAAGUUUCACAGAUUGCCACCAUUUGCUUAAUCUCUUAUCUUUGAUGGUCGAUGUAAAUGCAGGAUCAUCUUCACAUAUUGUGACUAGUAUUUUCAACCUUGAAAGGUACAGUCAUCUCUGUGUUGGAUACUACUUUAUCGUCUUGUGUGUGUGUAAAUAAAAGAACUAAUUAUAUAUAUAUAUAUAGAGAGAGAGAGAGCGUAUCAAAUGAGAGGAGUUUUACAGUGAGAGGGUUAAAUCUUGACCACAUAAUUAUACAUGGAUGGUCAAGAUUAGAAGAAAAAGUCAUGUGACUUUUUUAAGUGAUCAUGUGUCACUUAAAUAACUUUUAAUCAUGAUCAUCCAUGUAUAGUUGUAUGGUCAAGAUUUAACUCUCUCACCCGGUCAUUCUAAAACUCCUCCCAUUUUAUAUGCCCCCUAUAUAUAUAUUUGAUUAAAAAGAACUAAUUCUGUUACAGAGGAGAAAAUGUUUAACUAGUGCAAAAAAGAGUGUGAAUAUAAAAGAUAAAAAUGCCACAAAAGUUUCUGAUUUUGCUGAUAUUGUAAAUGGGAACUUUCGUGCCAUAAACACUCAUGCCAUAAUUUGAUCAAUUGCUCCUAUUUAAAUAGCACUUCAAAAAUAGACCUACUAUCAUUUUUAAUAACUUCACUUUGGCAAUAAGACAUGAAAUCAAUGCACCCCAUACUUCUGUUUUAUAUCUUCACAAAUAAGAAAUUAAUUUGCUGAAAAUGCAAAACCAUCUCUGUUUGCAAAGAAAUUUUCAAAUUUGUUUAUUACACUCAUUGGCCCUUGCUGAUCACAAGGAAAUCCAAAUCAAUGUGAACCUGUGAUAAAGAUGUCUUAGACACUUUUCUUAAUGUCUUAGACACAUUUUGUUGUUUGUGCCAAGGAUUUCUGUCGAGCAUAAUUUGUGUAACACUUAAAUGAUUAAUUUCAGUUUCUGUCUGCAUAAUCUUUGCAGGCUUCUUGUAAAUGCCUUGGUGUAUUUUCAGAGCACAGUGUACCAGGACUACUAUUGUGAGUAUUUGAGAUUAUUUGUCUCUUGCCGGAAGGCCUUAAGAUAUAUAUUAGUGGGAUUAUGUGAGAAGACAGACACCAUCCAAUCCUCACCAAAUUCGGUUAUUUCUGAAAGUUCAUUUCCUGUUUUGUGGCUUUCAAAGUCUUUAUAUGUGACUGUUGGAAUUCGCGAUAUUUUCUCAGCAGAAAAUGUUCUAUCUAAAUCUUUGAUGUUUUCUUUAAUGGAUCACACCUCGUAUGCCUUGUUGGGCAUUGGAAAACGUCAAAUUAUCCAUGCUUUUUCCAUUGAUAAAGAAGCUGAGAUGCCUUGCGAAGAAAUCUCUGAUCACAAAAUUAGUCAUGGAGAGAAUGAUUUGCUUUCAUCUUCUCCAUAUGUAGAUUCUUCCAAGCUUGAGGCAUUGAAAUGUUUAACCUUUAUGGCUGAGAAUUUGAAAGAGCUGAUGCAAAACGUGCUUGUUUCUCAAAAGGAUAACCCUUGCUGUGUCAAUGUGGGACAUUGUCUUACUUUGGAAAACAUUAAUAGACUGUCUGCUGCAGUUUCAUGCUUUAGUGGGGUUUUGUGGGGCCUAACAUCUGCCCUGGGCCAAACAGAUGCUAAAGAUAGCAGCCAUAUAGAAAAAGUGUUGACGUGGAAACGCGAACAUGGCUCUGAACUAAAUAGUUGUAUAUUUUCUUUUGUGGAAGUUGUUGAUUUUUUCAUAAACAAAAUUCUCUGUGAGAAUAAUCAACUCUCUGAAAGUUUACAUGAUACCCAGAGUUUUGAAAAUCCAGUGUUCAACUUAUCUUUGUCUGGUACAGAGUAUUUGUCACCAGAAUGUGCAGUUUCUAAGGCUAAUGCCUCAGCUGGAACACAAAUAGAAUCUAAAGCGGAAGCUAUUUGCUCCACUUCAUCAGCAAUUGAUGAUGUCUCCAGACGUGACAGUGAUGUUGAAAGAAUGUUAAAUUCAGAAAGUGUAAACUUUGUUGCCAGUGUUUUGGCUAGGGAUGAUUCCCCUGAGUCACUGGGUCUGAAUAAACCUUUGUUACAAAGCUUGGUAAAAGGUGAUAAUCCUGAAGUAGCUUUUUUGCUAAGACAACUGUUAAUAGCUUCGUCGUCUCUUUUGAGGCUAAAUUUGCAGAAGGAUGAUUCGCCAUUGCCUUCAAGUUUUGUGCCUACUUUUAUCAAAAUCUCACAAAUCUUGUUAUUAGAAUUUACAGAGAUGGUUGGGGUCCCACAACAACCUGCUUUUCUUUUGUUAGAUGGUGCUCUCAGCUAUUUGAGAGAAUUAGCAAGUUAUUUUCGAUUCAUUGAUCCUACCUCAUCGAGUAAAGUUUAUACAAAAUUAGUACAGAUUCAUAUGAGGGCAAUAGGCAAGUCCAUAUUGUUGCAAGGAAAAAGGGCAACGCUAACCUUACACGAAAGACAGUCAAGUACGAAGACACUACAUAAAGGAUCAUUUGAAGCUUGCUCUUCUAAUGAAAUGUAUGAUUUUUGCUUGGAUGAAUUGAAAACUAGGCUGCGGGUGUCUUUCAAAGCAUAUUUAGAGAGGCAAUCAGAGUUGCAUCUUUUGUCUACUAUACAGGCCAUUGAGAGAGCUCUAGUUGGAGUACAAGAAGGAUGUACUGCAAUCUAUGACAUAAAAACAAGUAAAGAUGGGGGAGAAAUUUCGUCACUUGUGGCAGCUGGCAUUGAUUGCUUUGACAUGAUUAUUGACUUUGUUUCAGGUAUUAAGAACAGCUACUGAGGGCACAUACUAUGGCUAUUUUGAAAAAUAAUUUUUUCAUUUCAUUGUUUAAUUAAUGUUUGCAAACUACAUUCCUUCAAAAUCCUUUUUAGUCAUUAUUUAAGUAAAAUAUUAGUGCUAUAUUUUGAUUCACUUCAACAAAUUUGCAAUAAUUUAAAAUGACAUUUUUUUAGUUAUAUUAUAACUUUUGUUCAAGAAAAAUUCUGCACUGUGCACACUUUGGGUUAUGAAAGUCAUCUGUCAAUAGCAUGUUAAAUAAUGAUGAUUUUGAUCACAUGCUGAUGGAGAUGUAGAAUUAUGCGUGUAAAUUUUAGCUUGCUGAUGACAGAGUGUAGUGAAUUUAUACAAACAACUAAGAUAGCCAAAACCUCACUAGAUGUGUUGGCUUCAGAAACCACAUGAUGUCUUAAUGUCUUAUCAUAAAUCAAACUUAUGAUAUAAUCUUCCAGUACAUGUUAUUACAAACACACAAAGGAAUAUUAUAUAUCAGACUGUUUCUGUUCUCUAAAAUAAAGCUGUCAGGACUCAGUUCCUUCACUUAUUCACUUGUUUUGUUAAUUUACCCUAAAUGCUCACUCAUAUGCUAUCUAUAACUACUUUUUGGGAGUCCUAACAUUGCCUGCAGCGUUCAUAUUACGAUUAUCACAUUCCCUGUUUAUAAAUUAUAAUCCUUAAUUGAAAUACUUGGAUUAUGAGAUGGACAUUGAUUACAUUUUAUUGAUUGAUACUGUUCUGUCAAUAUAUUGCAUGUUUGAUCAGUACCAAAUAUGGACAGGGAAAAUGCAUAUCUAAUUUUGUUAUUCUGUGACAUUUUCCCCUCUUUUUAAGGUCGGAAAAGCUUGAAGCUGAUCAAAAGACACUGUCAAAGCUUAGUAUCUUCUGUUUUCAGCAUUAUUGCGCAUUUACAGAGCCCACGUAUAUUUUAUGUUAACUUGAGAUGUAGAACAGUUGAUGGUACUCCUGAUCCUGGGUCAGCCAUUCUCAUGUGUGUUGAAGUGCUAGCUACAAUCUCAAGGAAACUUGGUCUAUUCUCAAUGGAUGUGUGGCAUGUAGGUCACAUGCUACAUAUCCCUGCAGCACUCUUUCAGAAUUUUCAUCAGCAUAGAAUUUCUAAAGCUUCUCGUUCAUCAUAUACAUUGAUGAUAUCAGAAGAGCAAAUAUCUCAUCCAGCAGAGGGAGUGAAUUUAUGUCAUGUAGAUCACCAGUUCACAAUUAACCUAUUUGUUGCAUGUUGUCAACUAUUGUGUACCAUUAUAAGGCAUCGUCCAAGGUAUGUUUGGUUUUUGUACCUUUUGAUUCACUGUGAUCAAAGUACCACUUCACACAUUUAAUGGAUAGAGAUAGCAAAUAUAUGAUGGUAUUAUUUAUUUGAUGCACUUAAUAUCUUUGUGCAAUCUUCUGCCUUUUUAUUGUACCAACAUUUUUUUGUUGUUGAGGAAAUUCCCAACCUACGUCUAAAUGUUACUAUGCAUGACAGUUCUGCUUGUUUUAUAAUCAUUCCAGUGAGUGCAAGCAGUGUGUUGCUCAUCUAGAAGCUUCUGUUACUGUUCUUCUUAAUUGCUUGGAGACAGUUUUAGAGAACAACUCAAUGGUGAGUGAAGGUUGCUUUUCAUGGGAAGUAGAAGAGGGAGUGAAAUGUGCUUGUUUUCUACGAAGAAUUUAUGAAGAGGUUAGUGUCAUCCAUAUUAGUGUGCCUACCUUCUGAACAUGAAUACAUUAUUAACAUCUUUUGCAUUGCAUAUUAGUAAUUUUUCUAUUCUCAAAUACUCUCUGUCCUGCCUUUUCAAAGCCAAAGUUUAUUUUAUGUGCAAAUUGCUUUUACACUCUUGCUUUCUGUUAAUGUAAAUUUUGACAAAGGAUAGAGGUAAGUGAGAUAUCAAGUGGGUCAAAUUUCAAACACCCCGUGUGAUACUUUGUAUACAUCAAUAUACCUUUUCCUAUUUUCAUACUGAGAGACUCAGACAGACUCUGACCAGCACUAAAGGACAAACUUAAAAAACAGACAAUCUUACUCAAUUGCUUCUCCUUUGAUUCAGAGUGAUCUGAGAGAGACUAGUUAGAUCCUGCCAUUGUACUUGCAAUUCAGCUUCUUGUUGAUGAUUGUAUCAAAAAUCCAAAAUGCCCUCAGGCUGCUUUUGAAAUUCCCAGCCCUCAGUCAAAGUUUCUGAUAAGUGGUCAUGGACAUAGGGACUUGGAGCUGCCUGUUUCAGCUUGCUGACAUGAAACAUCAUCUAGAUGUUACUGGUUGCAAGCAGUUGUAUUUCCCUAGCCUGUAUUCUUCUUAACGUAUAUGGCAUAUCACUUAACCAGCUAGUAUUUGUUUUCCAUAGUUUGAUAGUAUCUUAAAAUUUUGGGAUUUUUUCUUUUCUAAAUAGAUGGUGUGUUUACCUUCUUGAUUUACCAAAUCAAGAAAAAGCUUAAGUCCAGCCUUUAUUUAACAAAUCAUUUAUUUGUUUCUUUCUUAUAUUUGAUAGCUUAUUAUUUUUUUGUUCCUUUUGCUUACCCGGUUUGUUUCUAUGAUCAUCAUGCAGAUAAAACAGCAGAAAGAUAUAUUUGGUCGUCAAUGUUGUCUGUUUUUAUCCAACUAUAUAUCGGUUUAUUCAGGAUAUGGUCCCAGCAGAAGUGGUAUUAGAAGGUUGUAUAUUAGUUUUGUUGUCUACUCAUUUCUUUUUUCUGUCAAAGGUUACCAGUUGCAGGAUUACACUUUUCGACCACACAGAUACCCCUUUUCUAUUCCUGACUUUCAUUAACCUGUCAUCUCAGAGUUUCUUAAAAUUCCAAUAGUCUAUUAAAUUUUCCGUUACCCAUAUUUUGAAAUGAUAACAAUGAAAAAGUAUCAAUAGAGAUGAAUUUGGUAGGCUGAGUGGCUAGAAUCUUUUUAAAAGUGUAGCCAAAUAACCAUUAGUAAAUACUAAUUAUUCACAUUGUUAUUUGCAGAGAAAUAGAUGAAGCUUUAAGACCAGGUGUCUAUGCUUUGAUAGAUGCUUGCUCAGUUGAUGAUCUUCAAUAUCUUCAUACUGUUUUUGGAGGUAAGCAAUCUUGACUAGAUGAAAUUCUAGGAAAGCAAUUAAGGAAUAAUCUAAUUUCAAAAUUUUCCCUUCAUUUUGUAGAGGGACCUUGCAGAAAUACCUUGGCAACUCUUCAACAUGAUUACAAACUCAAUUUUAAAUAUGAAGGAAAAGUGUGACCUUGAAAUUCUGUUGAAGGUAAAUUUUUGUGCCUCAUUUUAUUCCCACAGAACGCUUUCCACAGAUAUUGAUAACUUAAUGAAUGUUUCAACUAAUAUUCAUGGAAAGCUAUCGUUGUUCUAGUGAGGAACUUAGUAUAUGCCAAUUUUGUACGUUGUGGCAUUGAAAUCACGAGGUUCAGCUGUAAUUAGUUCGAUACUAUCAUAGAUAAUUACUUAGCUGGUUCUUGUAUUUAUUUUUCAAUUGUAGUUUGAAGAUAACUUAAACUAAGUUGCCUAAACCUUUUUGUUGACUAAUUUAGAGUUUUGUGACAAAAUGGUGCUUGUACGAUCAAUUCAGUGGCAACAUAAGCAAUUCAAAUGUGCAGAAAUCGGUUUACUUUGGCUGGAGUCUAUGUUAUUUGGUGCCAUGUUUAAUUGUAGGCAAUGAGCUAUAUCAACAGCUGAUUUCUUGUAGGCCAUAUACUUCCAAAUAGGAUUAACAUUUAAUAUCCAAACUUAUUUUAAUUCCAACUGUUUUAUGGAUGGGAUUGAGCCUCAGUAUUAUAAUUAUUUUCUUGUUUUUCCUAUAUAAUUAUAGUGAUAUAAUUAGACUUCCGCAUUCGGUGAAAGCCAAUUCCACGAGUCACAUGAUAAAUAAUGAAUGAAUUGACCCUCGGGUUAAUUAUAAAUUUAUAAUUGCACACUUUAUUCCAAAUGCCUGCUCAAUAAUGAUGACGUAGUGUAAGAUUUGUUAGAGAAAAUUGGAAUUCCAUAAUAUUAUUAAGCUCCAAUUUGGAGCCUCCAAACGCUGCCUUAAGGCAAAUCUUCUAUAUACAAGUGCUACAAUCGACCCCACAAUUGAUAAUAAUAUCGUCUAUCUUACGUAAUGGGAUAGCCUAACUAAAAAGCAAAUGUUAAAUGAUUCCAUAAAAAAAGAUAAUAUUAAAUGAGCAACUACCAAAAAGUUGUGCGGAGGACAAUAAUAGUAUGCAUAAUCAAUAAUGUUUAUUCAUGUUGGAGUAUUCCCCAUUGUUUUUAUAAAAUUCCAUGUAGAUGUGGUUAGAAUCUCUUCUAUAAACACUUUCUUCACAUUUUCUCAGUCCUUCUUAUCACAUGAUGGGUUACUACUAUUGUAAACCCAGGGCUUAUGAUGCUCAUACUCCAAAUGUUGUUCUGAUAUUGGCUGUGGCCUUGAUUCUUCUGGUUAUACCAAAGCUCUUCUCAAGUGAACCAGAGGAAGAAUAUGAAGUAGAGAGUGGUUCCUCACCUUUUGUAGUACCGAUAAUCGUAAUACUGAUCGUGCUUUUGGUGUCAUGGUUGGGAGGCACAAGAAAAAGGGUUUAUGCCAAACCGCCAUAUUGUCGCUGCACACAUGCCUGCUACUGUUACUGGUAAGAGCUUGGUGGUGGAUGAGGAGAAUGAUUGGUAUUAUGUUCUGUGUCACCCCAUUUAUGAUUUAUUUCAUGCUACAAUUAAUAAGAUAUUGCAUUGGAAUAUAGGAUGAGUUUGUAAUUUAUGAGUUUGAUGAUAAUAUAAAAAGAGAGAGUAAUUAUAAUUUUAUUAUUUAUUAGUGUAUUCUUUUGAGUCAGGUUACAUUAUGAUAUAAAGUUUAAGCAUCUUAUAUUUUAUAGGAUUUAAUUUAUAUACAUUGUAUAAAAAGUUUUUAUAUUGAUAGUAAAUCACAAUCAUUCGAUAUUCAAAAAUAUUCGACUUGUAUGAUUACCAUUUUUAAAGUAAUGAAUAUGAGUGAUUUGUGUCAGUAGAAAAUAUUUUGUAUGUUAAUACAUGCAAAUUAAACUUUAUUUUAUAUGGUUGUGUUUCCUUGUUUUGCUUGCUUUAGCAUUUCUGAAAUGAGUCAAAUGAAGACUCGGUAUAGUUUCAAUGUAAAAUAAAACGAAAUCAAGGACAAGGACUUGGCAGUUUUUUUUUUUUAUAUAUGGAGCAAUCUUGAGUUAAACGGUUUGUUGAAGCUAUGACUUUUGGUGUUACCACACAGAUUUUUCUGAAAGAAAAAAAGAAGAAAAGAUGGUGUAUUAAGUAUAAGUAGGUAAUAGAUCGAUCUUUUUUUUAUCAUUGUCUUACCAUGUGAGUCGUAUCUGGUUUUGAUACCUCAUUGAAUCCAAUUAAUAUCUAGUGUCUAUCUAUUUGGACAUAAAUCUCUUUUUGAAUCUUAAUUUGUUGUGGUGAAAUCUACUUCACUAUAAUGAAACCUAAUUCACAGUGAUGAAUUAAUACUAAAAAUAAAUAAAUAACAAUUUAAUCAAAAUAUAGAUGAAACAUAUCAAUUAAUCAAAAUAUAUUUUAUUUAAAAUUUAGAUUAAAUAUAUUAAUUUUUUAAUUAUUUUUGUUUAUAUUUUGAGAUAAAAUAGUAUAAUUUAAAUCUUAUUAACGUUUAUCAGUUGUGUUCCUUAUUUUUUUUACUUAAAAAUGACAUAUUUUUAGUGUAUAUUAGAAUUUAUAAUAAAAUUUUAUACAUGAUGGAUGAUCAUGGCUGAAUGAAUAAUCAGCACCCAACCCAACAACUUAAAGAGGGUCAUUUGUCCAACAUUAUCACCAUUAUUGAAUUUUGUACGAUAGCUAUCUGAUUCAAUAAAAUGAGUGCAUGUCGACAUUUAAAUGGACUAUACUAUAGAUGUGGCGAAGGUUAAAAUCUAGCAGCAGUGGUGAGAAUGCAUUCGGAGAAGUCGGUUGAAUAAGACAACCAUAUUGCGUUACAGAUGCAAAUAGUGUUGUUUUGUAGGUUAAUCACUUUUUUAUUUUUAUUUUAAAGUAGUAGGUGUAAUAAUCAAUCAAUUGAGUAGGAAGUGGGAAAACGUCACAUCAAGGAAACUAUGCUUUAAAAACUGUGCUUUAUAAUUUUUACUUCGAAAAUGCUUUUACAAUUUUUACUUAAAAACAAAACACUCCAAAUUUUCAAACAUUCACUUAAAACAUCAAUUUCUCUGUAAAAAAAACUUUUUUUUUUUUUAUGGUAUUACUAAUAUAUCAUAUCAGUUUAUUUCUCUCUUUAUUUUUUUCUAUUAAGAUAUAUAUUAAGUGUAUAGAUAUAUUAAAGAUUUUACUAAAAACAAUGCUAUAUUAAAGAUUUUGAAAUAUUCAGUUAGUAAAUUCUACAUCAAUUUCAUUAUAAAUUUGUAAUAAAGUCGAUAGUUCUCUCAAACUUUAUAAAAGCAAAAUAAAACUUCACUGUGAUAUGCUUGAUAGAUAUGUAACUUGUGUACUGUAGAUGCAAUUAUUGGUAGAAAGAAACAUGUUCACACAAUUGGUGUUUAUAUGUGAUAAGUGAAAUGUGUCUUCCUUUAAUUGCUGAGGACACAUUCAUAAUGGACACUCAUAUUCUAACCUAUGUCAUAAUCAACAAUUAAUUAUAACUUUGAAAAAAUAAACGAUAUUAUUUCACUAUAUUAUGUCCUACAAAUACAAUACCAUUCACCUCUUUUAAGGAAUAAAAUCUGGUCACUUUUUUUUUUUUGCAUUUUCUACUUGCCAACACAACACUACCCCUAAUUCUUUGACUUUACCAUAUAUAUCACUAAGUUCCAUAGAUCAAAAGGGUUCUUUCAAGUUUCCAACUUUUGAAUUCUAACACUCAAAAAACCAUAAAACUCAAUGGCUGAUGACAACAACAGAGGCUCCUCUGCUUUGGAUGGUUUCACUCUGAAUCCUCUGCCUUAUCCUGUUCUGUUAAUCUUAGCAGUGAUCUUCAUCUUCCUUGGUACUUCAUGGUACUUUUCUUAUGAAGAAGUUGUUGAAACUGCUCAAGAACAAUUGGGUUGGGUUUUAUUUGUUGUACCAAUCGUGCUUAUACUUAUAGUUCGUUUGGUUUCAUCAAUGGAAGAUUCAGGUUGGUUUUCUGGUGGUUCUGGUUGGGAAAGGCGCAGGACAACACAAGAAAGCACCUCUGGAGGGAGUUCUCCUUGGGGUGUGGCUGCUUUGAUUGUUGUUUUGUUGAUAUUGGUGCAGUUUCAAUCUGUGUUUCUUGAUAGUUGGUUUUAUUGAUUUGGUUUUUGUGUUUUUAUUUCUAUAGGUUGGUUUGGUUUUAGCUGGUUUUGUUUUUAGUUUCAACUAACUAUAUGAACCUAAGUAUUUAGAUGAAGAAAGGAAGGUGUUGUAUAUUUCCUUCUAAAUGAUAGCAAAGUAAAGAUGCAACUGAUAUUUUCGUAACUUUUUAUUAGUAAAGAGGUUUUCUAUUUGCAUAAGUUAUCUCAUGUUUUUCGGUAACUAUGGUAUAUUGGUAUAAGUACACUUUUUAAUUUCUCUGUAAAAAAAACUUUUUUUUUUUUUUAUGGUAUUACUAAUAUAUCAUAUCAGUUUAUUUCUCUCUUUAUUUUUUUCUAUUAAGAUAUAUAUUAAGUGUAUAGAUAUAUUAAAGAUUUUACUAAAAACAAUGCUAUAUUAAAGAUUUUGAAAUAUUCAGUUAGUAAAUUCUACAUCAAUUUCAUUAUAAAUUUGUAAUAAAGUCGAUAGUUCUCUCAAACUUUAUAAAAGCAAAAUAAAACUUCACUGUGAUAUGCUUGAUAGAUAUGUAACUUGUGUACUGUAGAUGCAAUUAUUGGUAGAAAGAAACAUGUUCACACAAUUGGUGUUUAUAUGUGAUAAGUGAAAUGUGUCUUCCUUUAAUUGCUGAGGACACAUUCAUAAUGGACACUCAUAUUCUAACCUAUGUCAUAAUCAACAAUUAAUUAUAACUUUGAAAAAAUAAACGAUAUUAUUUCACUAUAUUAUGUCCUACAAAUACAAUACCAUUCACCUCUUUUAAGGAAUAAAAUCUGGUCACUUUUUUUUUUUUGCAUUUUCUACUUGCCAACACAACACUACCCCUAAUUCUUUGACUUUACCAUAUAUAUCACUAAGUUCCAUAGAUCAAAAGGGUUCUUUCAAGUUUCCAACUUUUGAAUUCUAACACUCAAAAAACCAUAAAACUCAAUGGCUGAUGACAACAACAGAGGCUCCUCUGCUUUGGAUGGUUUCACUCUGAAUCCUCUGCCUUAUCCUGUUCUGUUAAUCUUAGCAGUGAUCUUCAUCUUCCUUGGUACUUCAUGGUACUUUUCUUAUGAAGAAGUUGUUGAAACUGCUCAAGAACAAUUGGGUUGGGUUUUAUUUGUUGUACCAAUCGUGCUUAUACUUAUAGUUCGUUUGGUUUCAUCAAUGGAAGAUUCAGGUUGGUUUUCUGGUGGUUCUGGUUGGGAAAGGCGCAGGACAACACAAGAAAGCACCUCUGGAGGGAGUUCUCCUUGGGGUGUGGCUGCUUUGAUUGUUGUUUUGUUGAUAUUGGUGCAGUUUCAAUCUGUGUUUCUUGAUAGUUGGUUUUAUUGAUUUGGUUUUUGUGUUUUUAUUUCUAUAGGUUGGUUUGGUUUUAGCUGGUUUUGUUUUUAGUUUCAACUAACUAUAUGAACCUAAGUAUUUAGAUGAAGAAAGGAAGGUGUUGUAUAUUUCCUUCUAAAUGAUAGCAAAGUAAAGAUGCAACUGAUAUUUUCGUAACUUUUUAUUAGUAAAGAGGUUUUCUAUUUGCAUAAGUUAUCUCAUGUUUUUCGGUAACUAUGGUAUAUUGGUAUAAGUACACUUUUUUUUAAUGAUGAUUAAAAUUCGAAAUAUUUAUUAGACACAUAAAAGUGAUGUCAUGACGAAACAAAUCAACCAUUUCUUACUUGCUAUAAGAAACUAUAUAUGGAUUUAAUUAUAAGAAACUCUCAAAUCACAGGUGUUUUAUUAUUCUUAGAAACUCUCGAAUCAAAUUAAAAUAACAAGUGUAAAUUUUAUUAUAUAUGCGUCCAUUAUUCUGGACAAAUCAUCAAAAAAUGUAAUAUAAUGUAUUUUUCAGUAAACUUUCAGAUAGUGACAUACAAAAAAAAGAGAGAAAGACAUGCUUUAUCUUUAAAUAAAUUUGUAUUAACAUUAGUCAUUUUCAUAUAUGAAGUUCAACUUGACAUUUAAAUAACCUUACAACGAUUACAAGCAACGCAUGAUGAAUUACAAUUAUAAUUAUAGUAAUUCAUUUGAAACCACAUGCUUUAGUUCACGAGGGAAAAUAAGAAAGCCAUAGCAGUAGCAGUAGCCGCAUCAGCAAGAUGGCAAAGAUAGAGGGAGACAGUGAGACACCAUAGCUAGUUGUCGCAACUCGUGCUUCGAAUGUGUGAAGCGAAAGUUGAACCAUCCACAAGUAGAGUAUGAAACAAAGAAGAGAAUCAACAAAAGUACUAAGUGAAAGUAGAUUGGGUAUGUUAUGUUGCUAAGCUUUGUAGCCAGUGUAAUGGGAGAGCCAUAACAAGCUAAUAACAAUGCCAAAUACCACAAACAAAUGAAGAGUUGGGGAAGGAGAAACAGUUUCCAUGUUCUGCUCCAUGUAUCCAUGCUUCCAUUCUGCAUUCCUCUUCUUGGAGAAUAACCACCCCAUGUUUUCUCAGUCAGUGACACAUGAAGAAACAGACACUAGAACUAGGUUGUUCUCUAAGGUUUAUAUAAGAGCUUCUUUUGCUUCUGAUACAAGGAUGGCUUUGAGUUUUGGCAUAUAUUCUUUGAGUGUAACUUAUGUCCUAUAAACAUAUUUUGCUGUGUACAACCUGCAAGAGUCGGGUACUGGUGUUUCUUUUCUCUUUUUUUUGGACGAGUACAAUAGAAUUUUCUUGAUUGAGAUGAAUGAGAACAAAAACUAUUAACAUUGGCCUUAUUCAACACACUUUAAAUUCAAGUAACUUGAAAACAAAUUUUAAAUUUAAUAUUUGGUGACCAUAAUGUUUGGAAUUGUACUAUAAUUUUUUCAAUUUGUUUGAGUACUCUAUUUUAAAUAGACCAAAAUACCAAAUUUAAAUUGGGCCAUAUUAUAUUUGAUAGGUGCACUUUUUCUUAUUGUCUUCCCUUCUUUUAUCAUAUUUUAGGUCUGGCUGAUGUUCUUAUUCCUGGCCAACAAAUAGAACAUAACAAUAUGUUAGAUUGAUCAGCAAGAUUUUCAAAUGACCGAUACAAAUGUCGAUAAUAUUCAUAUGUACCAAGAAUCAUAACCCACUAAAUUGAUUUAACAUUGCACAAAACCCUCACACAAGACUGGAAUUUUAGAACAAUUUUAAAAUGUUACAUGAAAAUAGUGUUUCUGAAGUGCUGGUAUUGUUAGUUCUGUAGUAAACACGAAUGCAUUAUAAUACUUUUUUGAUGAUCCAACCGUAUAUUUUGUUGUUGAUAACUAGUUAAAUAAGAUACAAUAAGUUGAAAUUAUUUGCAUCAGCAAGACCAGACUUAUGUUUUUCAUGUUAAUAAUUACACGUUGUUCGCAAGUUUUUUUUAUUAUGUUACAUUAUUUCCCUCGUACACACUUUAAUGUAAACUUCUUUUGCAGUUUUAACUAAUAAAUAGCACUUUGUCUAGAGUAGAUGGAUUUGGAUUUCUGUUGCAAAUUUCAUUUAAGCUUGACUCAAAAGAACUCCGUAGUUACUGAGUUUACUGAGCCCAACAUUCGAAAUUUUCAACUACAACCCAAACAUACACUAGAUAAAAUAAGUGUGGUUGUUUAGGAUAGUUUGUGAUUAAGGGAUUAACAAACCUACAUGUUAGCCUUACUGGUUUCAGCUUGGAGAUUUUCCAUCUUCAAUUUCAAUUUUUCACAAGAAAUAGGAAUAUAAACAAUUGAACCUGCAAAGCUUUUCCUCACAAGGAAAAGUUUAUGAUCAAAUUAUACAGUACUCAGAAUAAACUACUAGUCAGGAUGAGAGAACAGAAGCAACUUUCUUUUCAGGAUAAGCAUAGAAGUGACGUAUACCUCCAGAUUAGUUGCAGCAGAAGCACAAUGAAAACACUCAUAGUAGCUUCAAAAGGCACAAACACUUGCCUAAAAUUAUGUUCUCUCAUUCACUAGCCUUUCUGCUCCCAACUACACUACUUGAUGAGCUAUCCUGAACGCUGUACGAUGAAGAACACUUGCCUAACGAACUACCUUCUGUGAAACUGCUUUCCUUUCUCGAUGACUUGCUCGAUUUCUUUUGUGCGGACGAUAAAUCCUGCAAAAUCCGACAACAAACACGACUUUAAUCCACAACAAAAUACCUUUUCUACUACAGCUCUAGGUUACAAGAUCUAUCGUGAAAAUAGCACUAACCUGGUCUGCAGAAGACCCGGGAGUCUUCAACUCAAGGUCCGUGGCUACAUCAUUAGAUUCCUCAUUUCUUUCAGCCCUGCUCUCCCUGGAUGAUUUGUUUUUAGAAUCUUGUUUUCCUGAUACAUGGGACCGGCUACCUGGAUGAAGAGGUGGGGAUACGUAUUGGGUGGAUUGCUGUUCAACGAUUGUAUUAGGGGCUAAAAAUGGAACGUAUGUUGAACAGGGGUUAGGGAUGACUGCAGGAUGUUGAUUAGCGUAGAAGGGGUACGGCUGCAUGGGAAUUGGUCCAGGAGGUACCGGCAUUGGAACUGGAUACGGAUAUGACGGUGGAGCCAUCAUAACUGAAUGAUCCAUUGCAGUCCAUGGAAACAUAGUUCUGAGUUGCAGCUGAUACUGGUUAUUCAAAUUCUCGAUAUCUGAUUUAAGAGAAGCCUUUUCUUCUCUGAGAUCAUUUUUCUCCUGAGUCAACUGAAAAUUAAAUUAAAUCAUUUCCUCUGUAACUUUAUGUCCAAAAGCAUCAAGGUGAUUCGUCGAACCAAGAGAAAAUAUUACCUCUCGAGAUUCUUCAUUUAGCAUAGUGUGCUCAUCUUUUAGUUUACUAACUUGAGAAGUAAGGUCCUUCAGCAAUUGAACUGUAUCACCUAGAAUGGUUGCUUUAUCAUUUUUGGGCCUAUCAGGGUCUGCAAUUCAGAGUCAACACAGGCACAGAGUGAUGUAAGAGGAAUUAUGUUUUAUCAGUUGUAAGAAUCAAAUGCCUAACACAUGGAUGAAUUCUACAGAAGCAACAAGCAACAAUUUGUUUGGUAAAAUUUAUCAGCAUUUAUAACCUUAAGUAACCUUUGCGACAUGUAGUUGAAAAUAAUCAGAACUUUAACGAGAUUGCUUCAAAAUUUGAAGUUGUUGACAUUAUACAAGUAUGAAAAUCCUAAUUAAACUUUCAUUCAACUGACGACUGCAGCAUUAAUGUACUUUAUGGAUGAACCAGGACUCGAGGAAAGGUAAACUAAAAACAACUACAUUCAAAGUAUUAGAUAAAUCACACAAAGCAUUUGCCACUGAGAUAUAACAAUAUGAUUUUGCUGUAAUGUAUAAAUCCAAAAUAAAUACAUAUGAUUCACAAUCAGGAUAGUAAAUCAAUAGAAAGCAAAAAAGAUUAAGCAUUAAACAACUUAUUUGCUCCCGCUAGAGCAUAGUGCUGGAGGGGGAAGGGAGGGACAAAGAAGCAAAAUGAUUAAAGAGAAGAAAAGGGAGAGAAUUUAGAAGUGUCGACAAUAAAAUAACAGAUAUCAAACCAACACCAGCAUUUGUUUAACAACAAAUUGCAUUUUAGUAAUAGAUUAUCUAACAAAGGAGAGUCUUGAAGUUACAUAUCAUUAGAAAGUAAGUAAUAACAAUGGAAUAUAUCAAGAACCAGUGACGUUUUUGGCAGUCAACUCACUAUUCACUAUUUUCAUAAAUUUGGAAGUGAAGUCUCAUUUACCUAAAAUGUUACCCAGUUCUACAAACUGUUCAUUUAGACGAUCCCUCCUUAACUUUUCUCGAUCAGCCUUCUGUGUCUUUCGAGCAGCUGUACAAUCCAUUGGUUCAACUUCAGGCCUUUGGCAGUAGACACAUAAGUUCCAAAAAAGUAAAUCAAUUAAAUUGAUUAUUUCAGCCUUGGUGAACCAAAAUCAUCAAAAUAAAGUAUUUUACUUCGAAUCUCCAAGCAACAUCUGUCACCUCAAAAGCCACAACUUGAAAAUUUGUUCCUACACAUUUUUUUAGAUGAAGAUUCUUAAUUUCAUAGAAUAAUAACCUAACUUCUGAGCAAUCAAAUCGGGUGUAUGCGAUGCUUCGUAACUACAUAAGGGGGAAAUAAGGUCAUAUGAAAAUGUCAAUUACAGCUUAAAAUCAUUAAAAUUUUGUAAUUAUAAAAUUAACAAUUGACAAUGACAAACUCCCUUAAAAUUCUCCUUAAUCAUUAGUAAACUAAUACAACUCUCAACAUGACUCAAACCAUUGAUCAUUAAACUUAACUUACCAUUAAACCACAUUCAUUCAUGAAAUACUUGCAAAGCUUCUAAAUUUCUCACAAUGCAAAAUCAAUUAACUAGAUAAAACCAAUUUAGGAUUAAACACAUUAGCAAUUCAUUUAAAAAAAACAAUGUUGAUACAGUUACAGUGACAUAUAAAACAAAGUAAUUUAGGGGCUUCAACUCUCAAGGUUAUAUGAAGAUAAAGUUCAAUUUUUUAAAAAGGGGAUAACCAAACUAAAUAGGAGUUAAGAUCAAACUAAAGGAAAAGGUAAUAACAUAGAAGAAGGAACGAAACCCAUGUGAAUUAAACGAUAAAGAUGAAAAUUUUGAAGGAGAAAACGCGUUAAGACAAAAAAAAAAAUUGUAACAAGAAUUGAGUUGAUAACGAGGUUAAGGAAAGUGCAAUUGUAGAAGAAAAGGGUUGGUGAAAAAUUUACCUGGUUAUGUUCUUAUCAUCUAUGGUUGAUGAUUAUAUCUUCAAUUUAUUCUCUUGUGUUCUAAAUCUUAAUUCUAAAUUCAAAUUAUAAUUAUUUGAGCAAAGAAAUGUAAAAGUGAAACGAUGGUUGGAAACGUGGUCGUUUUGGAUGAAAUAAAACGACGGAAUUGUGUGUCGUACUGUUGUUGUCUCUUGAUUCCCAAUGACGAAAGAUUGAAUUGGAAUUGGAAGGUCAUUGCCAUUUCUAAUAUUCUAUUCCAUUUGGAUAACCAUGAGUCAAGACCCUUUUCUUCUCUAGAAGAAAUCAAAAUAACUUUUAAUACUUUACAAAAAUAAAUUAGGAUAAUUAGGUUUUCAUUAACUACUAUGUAAAAAAAAUGAUAAUUUAGGAUUUGUUUUAAUGAGUUUUGGUUUUUAGUUAAUCAAUUUUAAGAAGUUGUUUUUAAGAGAAAAAUAAAUAAAAAUUCGUUUGGUAAUAUUAUUUAUGAAAACUCUUCUAGAGAUAUGAAAAUGGAAAAAAUUAUUGGAUAAAUUUAUUUUUAUAAUAUGUUUUGAAAAUUAAAAAUUUGUUUUGAUAUAUGUUUCACUUUUUUAUAAUUAUUUUAUUUUGUGUUUCUUUUCUUUUAUACUGAAUAUAAUUAAAAAAAUUAGAGUGUUGUUUGAAUUUGAAAAUUGAUUCCAAUUGAAGCUUUGGUGUAUGUUUGGUAUUAAAAUAAUUUUGAAUAAAUUAAUUUUAUAACAUUGAUUUUAAUUAAGGUUAUUUUAAUAUAAAAUAAUUUAUAUGUAAAAUAUAUUUAAGUAAAGUAAUUAAACAAUAAAUUUUAAAAGGAAUAUGUUUAGCCGAUGUUGUAAUACAAUUUUUGUAUUUGUUUCUCCUUAACCAUUAAAAUUACGGAUGAUAGCCGUUUUACAAUUAAAACUAGUUAUAAUUAGGGAUGGCAAAAAAAUCCACGCUCGCGGAUACCCAUCCAAAUCCGUUUGAUUUGGGCGGGGAAAAUCCGUUUUGAUUGGGUGCGGGUGCGGAUUUUCCCCAAAAUUAAAUUUCGGGUGCGGGGACGGGUACGGGGGUGAUGAUAUCCACCCCGCACCCAAACCCGUCCCGCAAGUAUUAUUAGGGUAAAUUUUGAAUUUUCUAUACAUAUACAUAUCAAAUAUAUUUAAUAUUUUUUUAAAUAUUAAAAAUUAUAAUCUUAUCUCUAUAUAAAACAAUUUUUUAUUUUAUUAUUAUCUGAUAAUAAUUAUUUUAUUAUAUUAAUUAUAAUACAUAUAAUUUUUUAAAUUUAUAAUUUUAUAUAUAUAAAUGGGUGUGGACAGGGAAACCCGAAACCCGUUGUGGACGGAGAUGAAGGUUUAAUUUUCACACCCGCUAUGAAACGAGUGUGGGUGUGGGUUUUCCCCGAUUAAUCGAGUGCAAGGAUGGAGGAGGCAAAAUCCGCCCCGACCCGCCCCGUUGCCAUGCCGAGUUAUAAUCUAAGGCCAAAGAAGGUUGGGCCGAUAUUUGUGAACAAAGGGAGUUUGGACAUUAGGUCAAUCUCAAACAUUAAUUUAAUUGAAUUUAUAAAUAUUAUAAAUUUUAAUAUUUAUUUAUUAUUUUAAUAGAAGUUAAUGAUUAUAUAUUGACAUUCAAUCUCAAAUCAUUGAUUAGAUUAUUUAUUUAUUACGAUAUUUAACGAGAUGAUAAAAUCAAUUACUAUUAUAAAAUUAGUUUUUAAUCAAAUAUUGUAUAAAAUUAUUAUUUUUUUAUUUUAAUAAUAUCUAUUUGUUUAAUUUGUUAUAAUUCUAUUAAUAUUUUGUAUGUUUUAAACAUAAUUGAUAACAUUAUCACCUAACAUUAAUAUUUAGUAUAUUAUAAUAUAUGUAUAUAUAUAUAUAUAUAUAUAUAUAUAUAUAUAUAAUUAGUUAUUUUAACAUAAUUUUAUAAUAUUUGUAUUAAAAUGAUUUUUUAUAAAUGAUAAUUCAGUUCAACACAAAAUUAUUCAAUUUAAAAUUGUGAUAACUUAGAUUCUCAAUCGUAUCUAAUUUUUUCAGAGUUGUUGUCUAACCCAAAUUCAACAUAAUCAAUCUAAAUUGUACCUCAAACAUGUCUAGAUAUACCAAUUAAAUCCUAUUUACAAUUUCUUUUUAAAAAUAUCUAUCCUUUAAACUUUGUAAUGUUGCACUAGUUCACUAUUUAAAAACAUGGUAGAAGAGAAAUAGAAGAUAUUGAGUUUGCCUUUAGCUGAUAGAAAACGUAAUGGAUUUUUCUAUUUCUAAUUCAUAAGUCAUCAUUAUUAUGCUUUUGCCAUUAAUGAAAACACAUGUUUUAUGUGUUUUUAUUCUUCUGAAAACAACUGAAAAUUAAAAAUCAAAACCUCUUUAACCUAUUUUAGUUUUUCGGCCGCCAUAAUUAAUAAAUAGAAAAUAGUUUUGUAAAACUAAAUUACCAAACAAGUUUUAAAUUUUUCAAAUUUUUAAAAACUAAAAAAUAGUAUUUGAAAAGAAAAUCAAUAAAGUCCUAAAUCUCUUUUAUUAAAGGUGGUUAAAAGAUAUUUAUGGUUAAAUAAAAUUUGUUAGAUUUUAUAUUAAAAAUUUAUAUAAAAGUGUAUCAUAUUUUAAUUGUAUAAUAAUUAUUCACAUAAAUAUUUUAUUUUUAAAAAAAAAUUCAACAAUGAUUCUCAACUGUCUUUAUUCCUAUUUAAAAAUAAAUUAUUUGAUUAUACGAAAGAAAUUGAUUCUAAAUAACUUGUUUUUAAACGAAUUAUUCAUUCUUUAUUCUUUUUAUUCGUAUAAAACAACCAUCAAAUGAUUAAAACCUAAUAUGUUUGGUUUCAUAACCCUGAGUGAAAUAGUGUAACAGUUCAAAAAAAAAUAAUUAUCAUCUACAAAAAUAUAUCUUUAUACUAUUAAUUAAAUAAGACAUAUUUUGUUUUAAAUUGACUCUUGGUACUAAUUCAGGAUAUAUUAUAUAUUUUUAAGAAAUUUGAAUAUUGAAUCGGAUAUCAUGGAUUUUUUUUUAUAUUAAAAUUAUCAAUUGUUGUCGAUAUUUAAUUGAACAAUUUGUUUUUAAAUGAAUGAUGGAAAGAUGUCGCUACCCGCACUAAAGUGCAAGCUAGUCCAUUUGAUUGCUACUGACAAACUCAACCAUAGAGUUUAUAAAGAAAAGAGACAUAAUGUGUUUACUUUAUUAUAACAUAUAAUGCUAAUAGUACCCAAAUUUGAUAACUACCCCUCUGUGCUAUGGAAAUAAUCCACUGCCUCAAUAUUAGUUCCUUUACUCCAAAGUUUCUUCACAUAAAAUAUGAAACCAUCGAUGAUCAUUAAUUUUUUCCUCCUAUCAGAAAUGUUUUGCAAAUAUCAAACUUGUUCUCAGGAAUGUGAUCAGGUUGAGAAUCUUAUAUUCCUAUAUUUGUUACAAAGUUACAAUAUAUAUUCUCAACUAUAAAAUAUUUAAAGGAAUAAAAUAAUUAUCCACUUUUCCAUGAACUUAUUUCCAAGGGACGAGGUGGAAAGAAAGAUUUUCAUAAAUCAAAAAUAAAAUUGAUAUAACCAUCUAUAAAAUCACUUCCUCCAAAAAUCACUUUUCCAUAAAGCAUACGACGUUGUAAAACUUUAUUGUAAUCUUACUAAGUGUUUGUGUAAUUUUUUUAUUGUAUACUCAAAAUAAAAUUUUAAGAUGAAGUGUUUAGUAUAAAGUACGCAGUUUAAUUAGUUUUAAAAUGUAAAUUGAUGUAAAAUAAAGUUUUUAAUUAAAAAUAAAUUUUAUUUCAAUUAAUAUUAAUUAUAUUUAAUAAUUAUUAAUAUUAAUUAUUUUAAAUUUAAAUUAUUUAUAAAUAAUUUAAAAUUAUAAUAAACUAUUUAUUAAUCUAAAACAUUUUUAUUUAUGUAGCUAGAUUAUUUAUUUUAAAAUAUUAAUUAUUCAAAUUAUUGAUUUAAUUUUUUGAUGAAUUAUUUAAAAUUAUUUACUAAUUUAUUUAUUUUAAAUUAUAAUAAGUAAAUUAUAUGGGGUAAAAAAUUAUUUACGUUACAAUAAUAAAAGUAAAAACUGAUAGAAAAAUAAUAAAUUAUAAGUUUAAAAGCUAGUUAAAGUAAUUUAUCAAUGACUUAUAGCUUAGCAGACAAAUCUUAUAAUUUACAAACUAUGGGCUAAUUUAUUUGCCUCGACAAACAUAACCAUAAUAUAUGAUAACAUAGUUCAAAGCAAAUCCAUUGUUUUGACUCACUUUUAAAAUCUUGUAUAUAAUAACUUGAUUCAAAUUAAAUAAAAAAAAUAUAGUGUGGAAUAACAUUAUAACAUGUAAUGUAUUAUUGGGUAAGAAUUGAACAAAUCGAGCAAGGUGGGAUUAUGGCCUAACAUGUGCAAGACCCGUGCCAAAUCAAUUUUUGUUCUUAAAUAGGGAAAAUUACAACUUUAUUAAUAGUUUAUUUGAGCAGAAAAAAGUCAAAUUACAUAACACAAAAUAGUCUUUUUGGCCUACUCAAUUACUCUAUUUUCUUGAGUAUCUUAUAGUUAUAAGGUAAGAUGAUUCAAUACUACCCAUCUAAUUUAAUUAAAAGUAAAUAUAAAAUGAGUAUUUAUGUUUUACAUUAAAUAGUAAUUUUUUUUUUUAAAAAAAAAAGUCAAACUACGUAAAACACAAUAAUAUUUUUUCAAAAUAUACUUAAAUCUUUUUUUUUUUUUAUCAGAUUAGAUUUAUAUGUUUCAAAGCCCACUUGGACCCAAGUUACUCUCACAUUGCACUCUUUAGUUUUGAUUAGAAAGAGACUAAGAAAAAACAAAACAAAACAUGGAAAUGAAUAAUUUUAGUAAAAAUAAUUAGUAAGAAUUUGUUUUUAGUAUCUUGUUAAACAAUGGUAUUUACAUAAGUACAUAUGAAAUGAGUAUUCAUUAUUUACAUUCAUAGUUUUCUAAAAAAUUAAAAUUAUAUGAUACAUUAAUCUGUUCAAUAAAUUUAAAUCUUGAAUUUUUUAAUGAGAUUAGACACAAAACUUAUUUAAAUCUGAGUUACUUUCACAUUGUACUAUUUAGUUAAUGAAAAAGAAACAAAACAAAAUUCGAAGACGACUAGUAUUAUUUGCUUAAUAAUAAUAAUAAUAAUAAUAAAAACUCUAAUAGGAAUUUGUUUUAUGAGUAGAAUAAAUGAGAAGAAAAAAAGAAAAAAAAAAGUGAGUGACGAAGUAAGUAACCACGUAAAAACGGCCAAUGAAAAGGGGCAAAGCAGACAUCUAAGCGGUAUUACGGCAAUUACAUCAACCCAAACGACAUCGUUUUGGUGAAGUAUUUUCUGCCACGUGAGUUUCUUUCUCACAAAACACACACACAUACGAACGAACAACCCCAAUACAAAUUGGUUUAUUUCAUCGUUGAAAAUUCACACGUUUCGUUUGGAAAUUGUUACACCACCAUGGCUUCCAUCAACAGCUUAUGGAUUCUCUCUCUCGCUCUUUUCCUCAUCGCUUCUCCUCUCAUUCAAGGUCUGCUUCUCAACAUUCUAGAUCUAGAUCCGUUUUAUCAUUCAUCAAUGCUUCUCUGCAUGUUACGAUUGCUUUAUUGCCGUCCCAUUUGCUUUUUUUUGCACCCCUUUUGAUAUUUGAUUGAUCUGUUUUAUAAUUUUAUCAAAAUUUAUUAUUUUUUGUUGGGUGCAUUGCCACUUUGAAGUCUUAGAGACUGAAAAUAUCGCAUUUUUAAUGUUGGGCAUUUUUUAUUCUAGUACAUGGCACUUCAAGUAAUGUUUUUUUCUUUGGGUUGGGGGAUUGAAUUUUGAACCAUCUGUGAGAGGAUAUAUUGGAUUUUAAUAGAUUCAAAUUCUAUGAUUAAUUUUUAAUAUAGAUUUCAAAUGUAAUUACCUACUUAACUGUGGUUUCAAAUACUUUUAGGCAGAGUUGUUUGAAGGGAUGACAGCGUGGUGUGGAUUUGAUCUAAAUUUCAUGUUGAAUCUGUACCUUUUUGGAUGCCAAUUUGAUUCAGCAUUUGGCUUAUGUUUAUUAUUUUUUAUUUUACUUGCCCUAUUGGAUCUUGUAUAUAAUUUGAUAAGCAUGUUUUUAUGCUUAUGUGCAUGACGACGAUUAUUGAACAUGGUUCUUGUUAUUUGCUAGUUGCUAGGUGCCAGUCAGACUCAGAUGAAGCUGUGGAUACUACUGGAGACGCGAGUGAUGUUGGCUUUGUUGGUGAUGAUGUGCAAGACUUUGGUUAUGGGACCUUUUCUUCUGCUCCAGGAAUUGAUACAAUAAGUGUAUUUCCAAAAAAUGUUGCAAAAUGUAAGGAUCGUUCUGUAAAGAGUGCACAUAAUGUAGUUUUAAUUGUUGUUUUCUGUAUUUGAUAAUAGGUUGAUUUUGUUUAUUCAUGUGAUGCAGUGGUAACAGCUGGAGAAGAGACAGAGCUUAUCGUUGGUGUAAAAAAUAAUGGUAAUUCAUUCAGAUUUGGAUACUCGUGUAUCCAGUGCUGUAGUUUCGCACUUUCAAGUUUCUUAAAUGUUUUGUUGUCAUUGUUAGUAUUCACGACUUUGUGUUACAUUCAUUUCGUGAUUCAACUAAAUUAUUUUGUUACUGGUGUUUGAGGAGUGUGGAAGCCAGGAGUAAAAUUGGGGGCUCUUUCAUUUGUAGUAUAGCUGAUUUCGUUUAUUUUGUGGACUGAAAACAGGGGAGUCCAGCUUGAAUGUUGUUGCAAUCAAGGCUAGUAUUCACCUUCCCAUCGAUCAUCGUCUGCUUGUUCAAAAUCUUACUGCUCAGGUAGUAAUUACUUACUGAACAUCCAAUUUAAACUUAUUUAUUCGUGUAAAAUAUUAUUCCGCUCUUGUUACUUUAAAUGAUUAGUUAUGCUUGUUACCCUGCAAUCAAUCUUAAGCUUCUAAUAAUAAAAUUGAUGAAAGCCAUUUAUGCAAAAACGGGAAUUUCAAAUCCUCCUGGAAAUAGUAGGCUGUGAUAUCUGUCAUAUCUGCAAGUAGCCUAAGAUUUUGUUAGGAUAGAUGAUGCCGAACAUCUGAAGUAGUUCUUCAAGUCCAUUUAGGAACAUCUGAUAAUUAUGAACCAAUUUCUUUGGCAAUUUAUGGUUAAUAUGUUAUUGUAUGCUUUUGCAUUUCUUGUGAAGGAAAUACGAUUCUGUGAUGUCAUGUCAGUAUCACCUAUUCUGAUUUGGUAAAUGACAUUACACAAAUAAUAUAACGCAAUUAUUUUUUUUUGAAUGCAGGUUUUUAAAAAGGGUUCUGUACCCGCCUCAGCACAAGCUACAUUCCCAUAUAUAUUUGCAGUCAGCAAGUUCCUGCAGGUAUCAACAUUACUUUGAAGGCAACUGCUUUUAGUUUCUGAUUGAGUGUGAAAUAUAAGAGUACUUUUAUACUCAUGAUGGCAUGAUACCAUAACACUUAAUGAUUUUCUCGUAUGCAGCCUGGAAGUUUCGAUCUUGUGGGCACUAUUGUGUAUGAGAUAGACGAGCAUCCGUAUCAAAGCACCUUCUUCAAUGGCACUAUUGAAGUUGUUGAAUCUGGUGGUUUGCUUAGCAUCGAAUCUGUUUUUCUUGUUACUCUUGGAGUUGCCCUCCUUGCCUUCCUGGGGAUAUGGACUCAUGGUCAAAUACAAAACCUAUCUAAGGUACUACAAUCUAUAAAUAAUGUGCUAUUAUUGGACCGCCUUCACAUUUAGACUUUGCUAGUUUUACUCAUAAUAACUUGUUUGGUUUAUUUAAACGUUUUUGUUUUCAUUUCCUGUAUUCACUUACUUUACAGAACUAAACUGCCUCUCCUUUUCAAUUUGUAUCAUAUUUGCAAAGAUUUGUAUAGGAAAUGGUGAAAACAAUGGUUGUACAGCAGUUGUUUUCAGUACAAACCUUUGAAAACAGAAAAUAGAGUGAAAGUAUAACAUGAAAAUAACAUGAACGUUUUCCGAUACCAAAGAGGCCCUAAACUUCUCACACUUUUAACUUGGUCCUGUCUCCAGCUUUGUGCACAUUUGUUUGAUUUACUAACUAUACCAUAGCAGUUUCUGAUCAUGUCUUACACAUUUAUAAUAAUAAUUGAUCAGAUUUUCAAUUUUAAAGAAAACCUUAGACUUUAAUAUUUCCUUCAUCUAUCUGAUAUUCUCAUGAAUAUUUGGUCAGAAAACAAAGAGGGCUCCAAAAGUUGAAGUUGGAACUAGGUCUACAGAUGCUUCGACAGACGAAUGGCUACAGGUCUGUUCUUAUGCUGCUAUAUACUAUCUUUAUAGUUGUUGGAUUUCAUGUUGUCAAUUUUGUUCCAUUAUAUUUAAACCUAUAAUAAUAAACUAGACAUCUGAAAUUGUUCUUUGUCGCCCAGGGAACUGCAUAUACUCAGUCUCAGUCAAACAAAUCAAAGAAGAAGAAGUAGAUGAAUAAUUAUUCUCAACGAUGUUGAGAUUUUCUGUUGUAGCUUAAAAGAAUUUUCACUUUUUUUCACCUUCCAAUGAUGUCGAGCUUUUUCUAAGAAAAAACUAACAGUGAUCUGAGUUAGGAAGGAUAGAACUUUUGAGAUGUGGCAUAAUUUUUGUUAGAUAAUGAUCAAUUUACUAUCUACGUUGUUUUGUUUUUGUUUAUCGAGAGCGAAUUUGGAAUAUCAUAUCUGGUCUGUGUGUUUUGUCAUUCUUUGGAAAGCAUAAUCUAGUCUAAUUGAACAAAGAGUAUUACUCAAAUCAGUCUCUUGGUGACUCUCCAAAUUGACAAGCAUAGAAAAUAGCAUAGCAUUGCACAUACUGGAGAUGCUUACAAAAUUAUAGUGUGACUAAUAAUAAACAAGGGCAAAAAUUAAAGUUCAGUUUGUGUUGUUUUCUUAUCAAAGUUGUUUUACACUGUCAUUGCACUACGUUUACACUAUUUCAAAAUGCCCUACUUUGACAAGCAAUAAUUACUCAAGGCGACACUCCAAAACGAGAAUUUGGGUAAAGCCUGGGUGUUUCCUGAGUAAAUGAGUAUCUUAGGGUUUUAGUUUGAUUACUUUGCCUAUUUAUAUACCUCAUAAGCUUUGGUCUCGGUUUCUUGUAACUCCCCAGUACCCAUUUAGUGGGGAAGGAUGUUGCUCCCUUGUUCCGCACAUGUCUUCUAUAACUUGACCAAGUAAAAAGACGCACAUGUCUUCUACAAUUUGACCAAGUAAAAAGAUAUGUGUUGGGUGUUAUCGCUUUGUUAGUAUUCGGAUAGUGGAUCAUUGUGUUCGAAUGUUGGGCCCAUGUGGUCUUUGAGUAACAUGUCGAGAUGGAAAGUUGGAUUUUCUCAUUUAAAAAAUUUAAGUUUGAAAUGCCAAAAUGGUUUUAAGGAAACUGUAAAAAUUAAAAAGUGUCAUUAUACCUCCACAAUUGAAAAUUUCAUUUUUGAAACUUUCGAGAAUUUCAUCUGGAAAUUUGAAAUUUUCGGUAGUUUGUUUUCAAUACCAGAAAUUUCAAUUUUUCGGGUAAAACUCCCAGAAAUCUCAUUUUUUUAAAUUUCCAAUAUUGACUCAUAACUAUUGGAAAUUUCAAAUUUCUGGAAAGUUCAUCGGAAAUUUCAUUUCUCAUUGAAUUUUCUGAAACAAUUUUUUUUUUUUUUUUUGUAAAUUUUUUUAAUAUACUUUUUAGUGAGGACCAAAGCUGAGUAAUGAUAACAGCUACUCAUUUUGUCGAUCAAUCUCUUUUGUCCAUGAUAUAACAGUUUUUCGUGACUAAAAAAUUUGAUCAGUUGUGAAUGUUUUAGUCAAGUUUAUACAUAAUGGUUGUAUUUUUUCAUCCAUAUUUCAAAAAAAAAAUAUAUAUAUAUAUAUCUAUAUAUAUAUACAUACCGAAUUUUUGAAUUUUCUAGUUGAGUAAAAGUAACUACCAGAAAUUUUAAAAAUUUAAAAUUUUCAGUAUUAUAAAAUUAAUUAACUAUCGGAAAUUUCAAGGCACAAUUUUUCGGUAGUAUAAAGAAUGUACCGAAAAUUUGUCGGCGAAAUUUCCGGUAAACAAAUUGUAUAGCCAGAAAUUAAAAAAAAUGAAAUUUUUGUUAUAAAUUGUGUAUCGGAUUUUUAGGCGAAAAAUUUUACUUAUCGGAUUUUUAGGCGAAAAAUUUUACUUAUCGGAUAUUUGGUUGAUGGGGUCAGAUUUUAGAGUAACUUUUUUUUUUUUUUUUACCAUUUACUAUUUAAAAAUUAAAGGGAUAAUUUUGGAGUUUUAAUAAUUUGGGAAAAUAUGUCCAAUUGAAAGGUACGAAAUCCAACUUUCGUCAAGAUGUUGGUUAAAUUGUGACAAUCAACAACCCCUCAAGUAUCAUGUCUUAAAAGUUGAGAAGUUUAAGUUGGACAUGAGGAUCCACAACCUCUCAAACAUGGAGUCUGAAUAGCAUGAGAUGCUUAAGUUGGGCACGAUAGUCUACAAUACCUCAAGCUGAGACCUCAAGGACAAGAUGUGUAAGUUGAUUAUUAUCAUUGGACUUUUCACAAUUCAAACAACACUAAAAAGAAGCACUUUAAGUUUGCCAAUUAUAAUUGGUAAUGAAACAAAGUUGAGGCACUAAAAGAUUCAUAAGUGUAACAUCUAGACGUUUUAUUUUAUUUUAAUAUUUUACCUUAUUAGGAAUUGAGAUAAUUAUUCUAAAAAAAAUGGUGGUUACUAUUUUAAUGUGUUAUUUUAAUUUUUAAUAAUAAUAAUAAUAAUAAAAUGAACGGUUAAAAACAAAUUUCAUGUCUUAGAUUGAAAUAUCAUUUUCUCCAUUUAAUACCACGUUAUACCAGUUUAACGUUCCCACAUCUGGUUUAAGGUUCCCCACAUCUGGUUUAAGGUUCGCCACUCUUGGCUUAACUUUCUCCACUUCUGUCAACGUUCUCUACUUCUGAUUUAAGGUUCCCCAUUUCUGAUUUAAGGUUCCCCAUUUCUGCUUUCUGGCUUAACUUCCCAUUUGUGGCUUAAAGUUAAUCCUUUUUUGAUAAAAAAGAAACAAAAACAAAACAGACGUCUUUCAUUCAAAAAACACUCUUUGAUAUAAAAGAAGGGUUUAGGAGAGAAAAAGAGAUAGACCACUUUGAUAGAAAAGGCAACCACUAAAAGAGAAAAGAGAUGAGUAACUCCAUUCCCGAAUUUGUUAAAUCAGUAUCAGAAAAUCAUCGACUGCGCAUUCGUUAACCGUUAGAUCGGGCUGAUUUUCGGACAACAGGUUUGCAGCGUUCAGACCCACGUUUUCAACGGUCGGAUCGGCCGAAAUGACGUUCAGAGAGGGAGAAACCAUGCUCGCACAGCAGCAGGUGUGAAAUGAGUGAGACAAAAGUUUGUGAAGCAUAAUUCUAAAUAUAACUCUAGUAAUGGUAAGGGCAUCACUCCAUUCGUUUUCUUAUUUGAAUUAUAUGUGAUAUAAAUGUACUGUUAUAUUAUUUAUUGGUUUUGUUUGUGUGUUAUCUUCAAAAUGAAUAUUAAUAAUUAUUGUGUUGAGUAUAUUCAAAGUGCGAAAAAUAAAUGUUAUGUGAUAUAUUGUUAUAAUGGCUGUGUUGAGCAUAUUCAAAGUGCGAAGAAUAAAUGUUAUGUGAUAUGUUUUUAUAAUGGUUGUGUUGAACAUAUUCAAAGUGUGGAAAAUAAAUAUUAUGUGAUAUGGUGUUAUAAUGGUUGUGUUGAACAUAUUCAAAGUGUGAAAAAUAAAUGUUAUGUGAUAUGUCGUUAAUAAGUUAGUAUUGCAUUAUAUUUUAUUAAAGUGUCCACAUUCAUGCAUUCAUUCAUAGUCGUGUGGUGGUGCGUCCAUAAUUGGUUGGAGCCCACAGAUCCUUGCGGGGAUGUUGAGUCAGUGGUGUUGCUUGGAAGGACCCACGAAGCUCGAGUUAGUGGUGUUGCUUGGAAGGAUCCACGAAAGCCCUUGCGGGGGAGGCGAUAUUCCGGAAUCAUUACAUUGGCAUAUAGAUUAAGCAAGAAGUCUGUUGCAUAUGCAUUAAUUAAAGUGUGACGAGUGUUUUGUAAAGAUAACUAAUACAUUGUAUCUCUUGUUUUUGGGUGAAUUAACGUUAUUAAAAAUGUUAUACUGUAUCUUCUGGUUUUGGGUGAAUUAACGUUGUUAAAUAUGUGAUAUAGUACUUCUAUAUCUACCUGGUAGUUGGAUGAAUGAAUUAAGGUUAUUAAUUACGCAAAUAUUGUACUGUUAUAUUUUCAUUGUUAUUGUAACUUUAGUGCGUUGUGAUUUUUAACUAUUAAAUGAAGUACUAUAUUUGCUAUGUAUGCAUGCAUACUCUGUGUUUGUUAUUUGGAGAUGACUCUUACAUUUGACAGGACGUCACAUAUAGUGUUACUUGAGUGAAUAAUAUCACGAUCAACCUAAUAGGAGAAAUGCGAGAAAGUACAAUAGCAUGCAGUUGGAGGCUCUGAGAUACUUUUGUAUCGGUGUUAGACUUGUUUGGUGAGUUUUCCACAAGUUCAAAGUUUGUGACCAACUAGAAUUUAUGUUUGGGUAGUAAAACGUCGAGAGUUUUGACUCUAGGAGUUCUUUUGUUUAAUGUAUUAAAUUUACUUUUAGUAAUUGCAAAUACUCUGAUUUAUUAUUUUUGAAAUAUAAUUAAAAUAGUUAUUAAAUAUUUUUAAAGUAAAUGAGUACUUAAGAUAAUCAUAAAUAAAUAAAAAUGAAUUUGAAAUUUUACGUUUAGAAUUUUCGUUAGUUAAUGUCUCGAAAAAGCGGGAUGUUACAAUAAGUGUAGUUUGUGUUGUUUUCUUAUUAAAGUAUGACAUGUUGAGAGUGAGUUGGUUUAGGUGUUUUGUAUAAUACGAUGUGACAUAUUGAAUGGUUAGAAUUGGAUGAAAGUGUAACUAUUUUACAUUGUCAAAGCACUACGUUUACUGUAACACCCCGAUUUUCAAAGCGAUGAUGUAUUUUUUUUUCCAAAAGAGAUUAAAAUAAAACAGAGAAAAACAAAUAAGGAAAUACUUUUGGAUAAAUAAUUGAGUCAUUAUAAUUUACAAGCAGCAGAAAAGUUUCUCAAAAUACGAAUCCAAAGUAUUUACACUUCAAAAGGUGGUACAUAGACCCCAUCAUAAAUAACAUGUCAAACAGACAAUAUUAGUAUAGGUACAGUUUUCCGAAUUAAAAUACUGCAACCCAAAACGAAGGACGUCUAGUCCCUAUACAUCAACCUAAUCUGAUCAUCCUACAAAAAACUAUACACCAUGAGUGAUCUCCACGCGCCCCGUGAGAUCCUCCUACAUAACUCCAAUCAAGCAUUCCCAUCCGUAGGGCACGAACCAGCAGGAUCGUCAUGGCUCUCAUCUGAGGGCAAAACCCAGAUUUCCACAAUAGUUGUAAAGGGUUACCAACCGAAAUUAACAGAUAACACAUAACAUUUAAGUUUUAAAUGCACAAAAAACCUUUCAACUAAGCAUGCACCUUAAAAGGAUUUCUCAUAUGCUAAAAGUUCAUGUAAUGCUUGCCAAUUAAAAAUGAAAUCAAAAUGAAGUUCUCAAACCAUCAAGUAAUACAUAACUGACCAAAGCAUUGAUAAAUCAAUUGAGCAAUCGAUUAUCUAACUAAAAAUAAAGAUUUCUACUGAGCCAAUCGAUUGCCAAAUCGAUUUGGUCAGUUUUUGCUGAGUUCCUGUGUUGCCAAAUCGAUUGCCAAAUCGAUUUUGUUAGUUUUGCUGAAUUUCUGUGUUACCAAAUCGAUUGCCAACUCGAUUUUGUCAGUUUUGCUGAGUUCCUGUAUUAAGGUCAAUCGAUUUCCAAAUCGAUUUCUUAAAAUAUUUUGAAAGACAUAUUUAUACAAUCGAUUGGCAAAUCGAUUAGGUUAAAAUAGUGAAGUUCCUGCAACUCAUCCAAUCGAUUGGGAAAUCGAUUUCCCUGCUUAUUCUUCCAAAAAUACUUAAACUAAUUCAAUCACACUCACACAUAAUUCCAAAACUUAACACUUAGCAAUUCCCACACAAUCACCACGACGAAUUAGUUUUCGAAAUAGUUUUAUAAUCCAUCGCACUCACGCACGAUAAUCAAUACAUACCACUUAGCAAUUCCAACACAAUUACCACGACAAUUCCUAUUCAAACCACUCAAUCAUAAACCUGAUUCAAACACGACUCGUGUGCCAAGCACCCUAAUGCAAUGCGUAUAUGCCAAAAUGCAUGGACUCAGAAUUCCAAACCAAAACCCUCCUUGAAGGGUCGUAAAUCAUAAUUGUACCGCCUAUCGCAGGCCAAANNNNNNNNNNNNNNNNNNNNNNNNNNNNNNNNNNNNNNNNNNNNNNNNNNNNNNNNNNNNNNNNNNNNNNNNNNNNNNNNNNNNNNNNNNNNNNNNNNNNNNNNNNNNNNNNNNNNNNNNNNNNNNNNNNNNNNNNNNNNNNNNNNNNNNNNNNNNNNNNNNNNNNNNNNNNNNNNNNNNNNNNNNNNNNNNNNNNNNNNNNNNNNNNNNNNNNNNNNNNNNNNNNNNNNNNNNNNNNNNNNNNNNNNNNNNNNNNNNNNNNNNNNNNNNNNNNNNNNNNNNNNNNNNNNNNNNNNNNNNNNNNNNNNNNNNNNNNNNNNNNNNNNNNNNNNNNNNNNNNNNNNNNNNNNNNNNNNNNNNNNNNNNNNNNNNNNNNNNNNNNNNNNNNNNNNNNNNNNNNNNNNNNNNNNNNNNNNNNNNNNNNNNNNNNNNNNNNNNNNNNNNNNNNNNNNNNNNNNNNNNNNNNNNNNNNNNNNNNNNNNNNNNNNNNNNNNNNNNNNNNNNNNNNNNNNNNNNNNNNNNNNNNNAAGAACGUUCUCUGUUUUAUAACAUAAACCAAGAACGUUCUCCGUUUUCUGUUUCAUAACCAAGAUCAUUCUUGAGUUAUUUUCUUAAGUUUUAACAGGAAUUUUUAAAAGGCAUAUUUACAAUUCAAACCCCCCUUUCUUGUAAAUCGACAUUGUUACUUCAAACACAACAAGUCUCAUUUACUCAAAAUCAUACACACAUGAGUUUAAAUUCAUUUUCCACGAAACAUUCAUCAAUAUUAAUUGAGAACACGUCGAAUACGAAGAACACAAAUCAAUACAAUCCACCACUCAAACACAACAAGUCUCAUUUACUCAAAAUCAUACACACAUGAGUUUAAAUUCAUUUUCCACGAAACAUUCAUCAAUAUAACCAAAACCUAACUCUAAGAUUUUACCCAUAAAGCCUUAGAUUCAUUUUCCCCCAAAUCAACACUCUAACCCUAACAAAAUUCUUUUCCGCACAACCACAGAUAAGUCCCUAAAUGCAAACUAAAAGUUUGGAAGGAGCCCUUACCUUAACGUUAGCUUUAACGUGCGUUUCCGGUACCACGAGUAAAUCCGGUAAAAUCUCCGCUCGCGACGUCGCUUCCAAGUUGGUCCACUAGCACCGUAGUGUGGUGGUGAGCAACUUUCGCUUCUAUCUCUUCGCGAAAUGAAGCUUAGAUCUAGAUGAAACGGGGUGGUUUGUGUUUAACAGUUUUGAAAUCCCUAACACCGUUUUUCUUCGUUUUCGAAUCAAACAAGAAGAAUGAAGUUGAGUAAUCUUCUCUCUCACACUCACCAAACCUUGAGUUUCUAAUCUUGAAGAAAAGGAACGAAAAAGAAAGCAAAACCAAGAAGAAUAAGAAAUGGGUUUCGCGUAGAGGCAGCAGAGGAAGAAGAUGGAAAUUAUGGAUUUUCUUUCUUUCCUUUUUCCUUUCUUUGUUUUUCCUCUCUUUCUAUUUCUUUUCUUCCUUUUUCCUUCUUUCCUUUUUAUAUCUUUUUCUUUUCUUUCUAUUUCGUUCUCUUUUCCCUCCACACAAACAUAUAAAUAUAUAUAUAUAUUAAUUAUAAUUAACAAAUAUCUCAAAAUAUCUAGAUAUUUGUUAAAUUAUCAUUUCACCCGUAACGCAUUAAAUUCUCCGUAAAGGAUUCAUCGCACUUAAUUUAAUUUAUUUAUCGACAAGCAAUUCUAAUCGGCAUUAAAAUCUCUUUUUGAUCAUAUAAACUCCAAAAUAUUAUUAACUUUGGCUAAAAAGCCUCCGAGCCAAAAUCCAAAAUACACAAAAAUACAUAAAGUGUACUUUAAAAUUAUGGGUCUUACAUUUACACUCUAUUUCAAAUGCCCUACUUUGAGAAACUAUAAUUACUCAAGGUUGAAGUAACAAUGUCGAUUUACAAGAAAGGGGGGUUUGAAUUGUAAAUAUGCCUUUUAAAAAUUCCUGUUAAAACUUAAGAAAAUAACUUAAGAAUGAUCUUGGUUAUGAAACAGAAAACGGAGAACGUUCUUGGUUUAUGUUAUAAACAGAGAACGUUCUUAAAUUAGCAGAAAAUCAGUUUCUAUUUUAUCUUAAAUGAUUAAUGCAGUAUAAUAAAUAAGGAGAUAGGAAAAAGAAUACCACACAAAGAUUUAUCCUGGUUCACCCAACGUGGGUUACGUCCAGUCCUCACACUGUGAGAUUUUCCACUAAGUGUUUAAAAUGAAGAGCCUUCUUAAUCUUACAACACCUAGAAUAGAUCGACCUUGAUCUAUUUCUUUCUUAAUUAUUUUCCACCCAGAAAGCAAUUACAACACCUAUCUAACCUUGAUAGGAAGCAAUCUUAAACAAACUAUAAAGAAACUCUUAUAGUUUGAGUUUUUACAAAUGAUUGAAUUUGACAAAAUCUGAUAUUGCUCAACUCUUGUUUGAGAAUAGAUUCUUUACAGAGAAUUUGAUGACAAUUUCGCAGCUGGUAUGUGAGUUAGCAGCAGUAACAGUUUCGCGAAUUGCAGAAAGUGAUGUUGCCUCUGUUUUUGCUGAAUUUCAAGCUUAUGUGAGAUUGUAUAUUGUUGGUUACUUAGCACUUGAAUUUCAUACUGAGAACUGGGAUAAUGACCUUCUAUUUAUAGGCUGUAGAUGUACUUGAAUGAAGGUACAAGAGCUGUUGGAGAAACUAUGCUUUUUGACUGAACCAUUAUUUUUAGAAUAAAAAUAAUCCUUCUUUGAAAAUAGCUUUUUGACUUUUAAUGGUCUAGCAUUUAAAGCAUCUCAGUCCUUUCUUUGACGUUUCUUCAUUGAUCUUGGAUGGUACAUUAUCUGCCUUGAGUCUUGAGUGUAGCUAGAGAAGGUUGGAGAAGAUUAGAAACGAAUUGCAGACUGAAACAGAGAGAAUGCAAAGCUGCUGUUGAUGUGCAGAAAACGGAGAAUGAUUAACGUUCUUGGUUUUAUUAGUUUGAACUUUCUUGAGCUUCAAUAAUCAUUUUGGAGUUCCCGUUUUAAACGUUCUGUAUUUCCUUUGUUCUUGUCUUGUCAUAUACCCAGUUUGAUCAAGUUUUCUUGACAUUUGAAUUUUGGAAUUCUUAAGCCGUCAUGACUUUUGUCCAUCUUUGAAUCCUUUGAUCUUUGUGAUCAAGUAUCCUUUUUUAGUCUGGAUUAUUCGUAUUUGUUCCUUGCCGUGUACUUAUUAGAUAUGAGAGAUUUCCAGAUCAAACUUUUUAUCACAUGGAUAGAAAAGAUUUGACCAACUUGUUGUGAUGGAUAAUUUGGUGAAGCUGAAGAUCAUUCUCUGUUUCUGAUGCAGAAUGAUCUUGUUGUUGUCUUUUCUUGUAUUUGCUUGAUUCUGCUCUUAAUUAAAUCCACUCAAGAACACAAGUUAAAUUAACAUAACAUUUAGAAUCAUAAUUAACAUUCUUAAUUAACCUUUGUUUAUUCUCAUCAAAACUUUAAAAUAGAGAGUUUGUCUCAACAAAGGUGACACACCAAUACUAAACAAUAUUAUAACAACACACAAACUACUUAGCCUAUUAUGUUGUCUCCACAUCAGUACUGUUCUUGAAGUAGAAUUUGGGUAGACUUAAUCGAAGAUGUAUUGUUUGGGUGUUUCCAGAGUAAAUGAGCAACUUAGGGUUUUAAUUUUAUUAUUUUGCUUAUUUAUAUAUAUCAUUGGUCUCAAAGUUUCUUGUAACUCCCCACUACCCAUUUAGCGGGGAAGGAUGUUGCUCCCUUGUUCCGCACAUGUCUUCUAUGACUUGACCAAGUAAAAAAAUUGUGUUUGGUGCUAUCUCUUCGUUAGUAUUUGGAUAAUGGAUCAUUGUGCUCGAAUAUUGGGCCCAUUGGUCUUUGUAUGACAUGUCGAUAUGUUGGUCAAAUUAUGACAAUCCACAACCCCUCAAGCAUCAUGUCUUAAAAGUCGAUAAGUUUAAGUUGGAGAUGACGAUCCACAACCUCUCAAACAUGGAGUCUUAAUAGCACGAGAUGCUUAAAUUGGACAUAAUGGUCUAUAAUUCCUCAAAUUGAGUUCUCAAGGACAAGAUGUAUAAGAUGAUUAUUAUCAUUGGGUUUUUCACAAUUCAAACAACACUAAGAAAAUCACUUAAAUUUUGUCAAUUAUAAUUGGUAAUGAAACAAAGUAUUGGAAGUUUUAAUUCUCUGGGCUUCUAGCUUAGUUGGUGCUAGCAUAAUGUUUACUCUGGGUCAAUAAACUUCUUCCCACCAUUCCCGAAACUUAAAAAAAAAAAAAAAGGAAUUGUUAUAUAUUUUUUUCAUUAACAUGAAAGAUAUUUGUCUCGUAAAUGUAAUUCAUAGUAAAAUGCUAUAGUAACAUUGAUAAGUUGAGACAGGAGUUUGAACCUACAAUACUCUGUUUCUUCGUCUUUAAUAUGUGUGAGUUUCGUCACUAAAUUCUUUAAAAUAAAAUAAAAUAUAAAAGAGAAUUAGAAGUAAAAAGUUUUUUUUUAUGAGUAAAUGUUAGUAUAUUAGCUAUGUUAAUAUUUUUCUCUUCACCAAAGUUUGAACUUCGAUUUAUUUACACUUAUAUCUUUGGAUUCUUAACUCUAAUAAAUGAAAUUACCAAUUUAUAAUUAUAUUUUUAUUUAGAAUCAUUUUUUGAGAUCGUAUUCUUGUAAAUUUUCUCUUCUCAUAUUCUAUAGGAACUGAAUCAUCUCAUGUCACACGAGGAUUCGAUUAAAUCUCCAUCCCCAUAGAAAAUCAAAAAGUUUACAAUAAGAUAAAGGAGGGAUGGGAGACUUAAAGCAAGAUAUUUGGAAAAAAUUGAAUGAACGCCCUCUCAUAUUGUUACCGUUCCGUCUAGGGUACUGUUGCAUAGUAGAUUUGUUCAAGUAUUUAUAUAUAUAUAUAUAUAUAUAUAUAUAUAUAUUAUAGUGAUAUUUAUUAUGUUUUUAAUAUAAAAAAACUCAAUGUAUAUCAAUGACAAAAUAAUAAUAUCUCACUAAUACAAUAUACAGCACAUUGUAUAAUUUGUUUAUGUAUAUUCAUGUGAAAAAAUAAAGUUUAUUUUAUCUCAAAGUUGUGGAAAAUUUUGUAUAUAUAUUAUACGUUUUAAUAAAAAUAAUACUUACAAUGCAUAUUCAAUACCCAUAGCUAGGACAGGUACUACCAUUUCCACCCUUAUCUGAGAGGUGUCCUUUUACUACCAUAUAGACAACCUAUACGGAUAAAUACAAUUAUUUUUGUCUUCUCUUUUAAAAAGUUGAGAUUUAAAAACACAAGAACAUGAUGGAGAAUAAUUUUAGGAAUAAUUAUGAAGAAAAUUAACUAAAUGAUUUACAUUUGAAUUUAACUUAUUUUAAUGUAAUAUCUAUGAAUAAUUACUUUUACUAAAAUAGUAUUUGACUAUGUGUUUGAAACUAGGACCAAAUGAUUUUUGGAACAAGUUUUAAAAUGAUAAAAUUAUAGUUUCAAUUUUUUAUUUUACAAAAUGAAAAAAUCGUAAUCAAAUUUUGUAAAUUUUAUUUUACUACAAUAAUAAAUAAUAAUUUUAUUUAUAAUUUUAUAGAAUUAAAUUAAUUAUAUUUUUUAUCUAUUUAAUUUUUUAAAACAAAAAAUUAAAGUAUAAAAUUAUUACAUGAUAGUCAAGACAUUUCAACUAUAUUGAGAGUUCAAGACAAUUACAUAUUAUUUAUACCACCUUAAAAAUUUAUUCAAUAAGCAAAAUAAAAAAGAUACAAAGAAAAAUUGAAGAGUUAGGUCAAAAUCCAACAUAAACGGACAAAAACAUGAACAAUAUAUGCUCUAUAAUUAAAAACAUUACUAAAAAAGUUUCAAAGACUAAUUUUUGUGAAAUAAAAAUAGUGGAAAGCAAACAAAAUUUUAAACUUUUGAAAAAUAUAAACAAAAACGAUAAUCAAGUCAUCAUAAUUUAUGAAAUAUCAUCCUACCAAACAAAAUCAUUACGUUGAAGAUUUAGAGAAAUAAUUUUGUCUAUAUAACUAUUACUUUCUUCAAAAUAUGAUAAAUAAAAAAUGCAUAUAUUAAAUUUUUAGUUCUUCCAUUAAUUUUAUUUAUAUUUUUAGGUGGUUAAUUUAAUUUAAUUUAAUGAAAAUUCUUAAAAUCUUAUUUUCAUUAAAAUAUUUGGUGCUUACAAUAAUGAAAUGAAAUUGAAGUUUAUAUAAAAAAUGAAAUUGAAAUUCCAAAUAAACUUUUAAAGACACGCACAUGCAUCAAUAGCAUCAAAGCAAAUAAUUGUCACACUCAAGUUUGCAAUAUAUAGUUGGAUGAUGGAUCUAUAAUUAGUGAUCAUUGCCGACCCUAAUGUUCACCAGUAUUUGCAGCCCCAUGCUUAAUUACCCAUUUCUAUUAAAUGCUUAUAUUUAAUACGUGCUACUUAGUAGGAGUGGGAGGACAUAGGUUCACCCAAAAAACCUAGCCAUUAACAAAAUAUAGGGCCUAUGCUACCCCCAAUAAAUAAAUAAACUUUAAACACUUCAGUGGCAAUUAGGAAAAUGUCACAUUUUUUCUUUAAUUAAUUAACAGAACUCUCCCUCCUUCCUUUUGACUACUUGACCUUUAUUUUAUUGAGAAAUUGACUCGAUUUGACUUUUGUUUUAGUACCUUUCUUUGCAUUGAAAUAUGGAUAUAAUUGUAAAACCAUUAGGCAUGUAUCUAAAUCAAUCUUAUGAGAGAUAUAGAUAGUUCACUACAAUAAUUGAAAUGCAUGUGUCAAAAAUAAAUAAUUGAAAUGCAAAACAGAAACCGCGGCAAUUAAAUACGAAUAAUGUGGAAAAGGUUUUCCCUAAAAGACUCAGGUAAGACUUUAUAAGUUAUAAUGUUAAAAUGAGUUUAUGUCUUCACUUGUGGAACCUUUAUGACUUCAGAAACAUUCAUGGACAAGUUAACUAAGAGAACCUUUAACAAUUGAAACACACUGAUGAUUUAAUUAGUUAAUUUCAAUUUUUUUUGUCGAUAAAAUUAAUAAUUAUGUUAGUUUUUCAUAUUUGAAUUUAAAAUCUCCUUAAAUAUUUUUAGUAACCCUAUAGUUAGCUCAUCAAUUAAGUUACAUACGAUAAAUUUUUUUAAUAAAUAAAUAUUAAUAAACUAUUGGUUAUGUUAGUUAGUUAAAAAGAUAUAUCGGAUGAGUAUCAACUUUGAGAGAAAAAAAAUACUUAUGAUUAUAAUAUUUUUUAAUAUUUUAAACUUAUAUUGACAAAAUUGUCUAAAAUAACUGAGAUGAUUAUUCAUUGCAAUGUAAAACAGUGAAGCUUCCCCCUUCUCAAUAAACAUAGUAAAUAUUAAGCUUAAUUAUUCGAGGGGUCUAGUAUCGUCUAGCCCUUUAUUAUAUAUGAAGACAAAAUUACACUUCUCUUUCUCAUGGCAGAUUUUGUCCAUUGAAUAAAUAUAAUAUAUAUUACAUGUUAAACAAUUGUAAUACAAUCAUUUUGUAAGCAUAUACUGCUCUAUCUAUUUUUGACAAACGGUUUAAUAAACUAUAUGUGUAAUCAAUAAUUUUAUCAAAUUAUAUUUUUAAAUAUUAAUAUAUUUAUAGAUGAUAAUUAAAUGUAAAUUUUAUGAACACUUGGAGAAAAAAAACUUGUAACAAGUAAGAUAAAAAUAAAUAUUAUAAAUGUACAUGUACAAGAACUAGACGAUUACGUGUAAAAUUGAGCAUAUAAAAAUUUGUCUUUUACAAAAAAAUAAGUAAAAAUUAAUUAAAAAAAAAAGUAGUUAAAAUAUUUUGUUUUGAUAGAGUUGUUACUUUCAUAAAAUGUUUGCUUAAAAUCAAAGAAAGAAAAAAAAGAUAUUUUCCCACGUAGUUCGUCGGUCAAAUUAACGAUUAUCUUUUCAAAAUUAUAAGAAAUAUUUUUUUUCGUCUAAUUAGACUUCUAUGAAUGCAAUGAAAAAACUAUCCCCUCCUAUUUUUCUGUCCAGUCAGAAAGAUAUAUAAGAAGACUCAAAAGAAUUUUUAUUUACCUUUAACCUAGUUUUGUUUAUAUUUCAAAACGGAGAGAGUGUUUGUUAUAUACAUAUAUACACAUUUUUAUGAUUUUUUAUGUUUAUUGUAAUAUAUAGUUUUCUAAUUGAUAAAAAAUAUAAUUUUUUAUGCUUUUAUUUGUCUAAGUACAAUCAUUUGUAACAUUUAAUGAGAAGAUUUGAAAUAAUUUUGAGUUGUAUAUUAAUUGAAUUGUGUUUUCCAUUUUUGUAUUUUUAUGAUGAAUUCUUUUGUUAUUUAUUCUCUUUUCAUAGUCAAAUUGCAAGCAAGGGUAGUCAAUAAAGACACUUAAAUGAUAAAAAGAUAUGAUAUGAUACACUUAUGUUAUUCUAUUCUACGUUAAUUUAUUGUUUGAAACACCAAUUAUAUAUGAUAGAGUAAUCAAAUUUUUUAAAUAUAUUUUGUUUCAGUCUUAUGUUAAAUCCGGUUCCAACCAUAUAAAAGUUAAUAAAUAUUUUUUUUUAUUUUUUUUGUCAUUUUUUACUCACAUUUCUCUCUCCUUCUCCACUUUGUCGUCCCCUUCCUCUCCAUCGUGCCGCCACUCUUGUGCUCUUCGCUAUCGUCGCCCUUUUCUAAGUAUUGUUUUUCUUGAUUUUCUCUUUAUUGCCCUAAUUUUAUUUGAUUUUCUCUGAUUUUAGGAUUGUUUUCUGUCAUUGAUAUUGGAUUGAUUUUAUGAUUGUUGAAGUUAAGUUGAUUUCCUUUUUUCAUAUUUGCCAUGAUAUUUUCUUUCUGAUUUAUUUUAUUUUACAAUAGGAUAAAAGUUAUGAUUGUUUUGUGAUGUUUGAGUUUUAUGUUAAUUAUUUUUUUAUAUAACUACUAAUAAUAAACUUUGAUUGAUAUUUAAACAAAAUGGAGGGAGAAUAAUAAUUAUUUUCCUCAUCCAUCUAUGUUCUUUGUUAAGAUGUAUUGAUAUUCUAUUUUGCGUUGAUGGAUAAUAAUAAUAAUAAUAAUAAUAAUAAUAAUAAUAAUAAUAAUAAUAAUAAUAAUAGUGUUGAUACUUAUAUAUAUAUAUAUAUGAAUAUAAAUUCACAAGAACAAAAUAAUGUGAUGCUAUAUCUAAUGUUAGAGCAAAUGUAUUUAAAGAUAGUUAGCCUUUGUUUAAUAAUUUUUAUGAUAAUGAGUUAUUCUUCAAUGUAGUUUUAUAAAAUUAUAGCAUUCGAAAUUGACUAAUGAAUAGAGAGUGAUUAAGAUGAUAACUUUUAGAGAGUUUGGUCAAUCAAGAUGAUGUCACAUGUGUUAAUCAACUUCACAUGGAUAUUAGAUCAUUUCGACGAUUGUGUGUUCUCUUGCGUCCCGAAGGUAGGUUGAAAUAAGAUAGAGUAGUAACUAUUGAAGAACAAGUGGCUACGUUCUUACACAUAUUAGCUUAUCAUUUUAAAAACCGCGUUAUUAAGUUCUUAUUUAAACGAUAAAGACAAAUAGCUAGUAGGCAUUUUAAUUCAAUAUUGAAUGAAGUUUUAUGGUUACACGAAAUUAUUCUUAGAGCACCUGAUUUUGUUUCAGAAGAUUGUUUGGAUGAAAGAACGACCAAGUGGAAAUUCGAUCAAAGAGAAUAAUUAAAGGAACACAUAUUAUUGCUAAUGGUAUUUAUGAGUCAGGAAAAACUUUUGAGAAUUGACUUGAAAAAAGUUUAGGACGAUUGGGUGAAGCUGCAAAUCGUCUAAGUGUUGGUAAAAAUGUGUUUGAUGAUUUCAGAAAUAUUAUGAAUGGGUUUAAGAAAAUGCAACUAAUAGAAUAAAAAUGUUUUGCUGCAAAAGACAUAAUGUUUACGUGUUUCACAUCGCUUGCACAUAUUUUUGGAUUGUGAUGAUAUUGAUUGUCUUGCAUUUGUUAAAUCGUUGAUCUACUAGUUCUAUUUUUGUACUUGAUUUUACUUAUCUAAUUUUAGUGCAAUUUACUUUUAUCUGUUUAUUUUGUAUGAUUUGUUGAAACAUGUAAGACAACAUAAUAUUCUUUAUGAUACUUUAUUGCUACUACGUAGUCGAUAAUUUUAAUUUUAUACAAUGUGUUAAAUUUUUUAAUGAUUAUGUUUUUUAAUAUUAUAUGUUUUUGGAUUUUUAAAUUUUCAAGUAUAUAAAAUUACUUUAUAGAUUAUUUAUAUUUUUUAGUAUUUUUAUUUAUUUAUAAAAAAAAUAUGUGAAUGUUAUUUUGAAACAAAAAAAUUAAAUAAAUUAUAAGAACAAACUUACCAUUUUAUCACAAUAUAAAUCAUAUCAUUUGGUUAUGUAUUGUGUUUCAAACAUUGAAUAAGAUAAAUCAAUCUUAUCAAGUUAAGCACAUAAUAUGAUAACUCUUUAUCAAGUUCAUAUCUUAUUUUGUGCUCCUUAUCUUAUGAUAUAUCUAUCAUAUCAUGUCCAUCAAAUACGCCUUAAAAUUACUAUUCAUAACUAAUGGGAUAUAAUUGGAUAAUUUUUUCAAACGCGUGUACCAAGGCAAACACAAUACCAUGCCAGAAGGGUGCUCAUUGUCAUCAUAAAUAUAUUAAUUAUUAUCAACAAAUACAAUAUUGAAAUAUAAUGACUUAUCACAACAGUACCAUGCCAGAAUGUUAUAUUGAAAAAAAAUCUAAUUUAUUAGCCCUCUGACCUUUUCUUUUGUCUUUACGGUGAUAUAAGUAAUCCACUUGGUCCAUCACAACACAAGCGAAUGACCCUUUCUUUAUUUCAUUAUAUUAUUAUUAUCAGCGAACAUAGGAAAUAUUAUGAUAUAUUCUAAAAUGAAAUAAGAAUUGUGAUUAUAUGUCUCAAUUUCACAAUUUUAUAAAUUAUUGAUUCUAAGUCGUAUGUUGUAGUCAUAAAAAAUUUCAUAGUUAAAAAGUCUAAUAUUUAAAAGUCCUUAAAAUUUAAUAGAUUUUGUAGGGUCUAUGAAUCUACUUUUCAUAUUAUUUUUUUAAAUUUGAUAAUUUAUUUCUAAACAAAAUUUUUUGACAAAAAUUUUAAUUUGAAAAAAAUAAUUUUUUACUUUUCUUACAAAAUUUUUUAAAAAAUAAUUAUUUUAUAUUUUUUUGAGAAAAAUAAAUUUUAACAAUAGAUUUUUUAAAAGAGUUUUAAAUUGUGAGGUUUUGAUAACUUUAAUUGUGGUAUACUACUUGAAACUGAAAUAAAUAGAUAUAAAUAUUGUGGUACAUUUGAAAAUGAAAUAUGAAGAAUAUUGUGCGGUGGUGUUGUCUUUCUCGUAUCCAAGGGCAGGAACAUCAUGAUAAUUAUCAUGAUCUUCUGUAAAAUUUAUAAAUAUGCUCUUGUGAAAUUAAUAAAGAACAAUGAAGUUGACUACUAUUACAUGUCAACCUUGGUGAAAAGCUCAAAGUUGAUAUAAUUCUGAUGAGUAAAAUUUAAUGAUUCAUUAAUGUGAAAAAUUGAAAAGUAGAAACGUUGCUAUAUUAUUCCAUUUUUUUGUCAAAAGUGUACAUUUCAGUGAUAGUACAAUGUCAAAAGCAUUUAUUAGUACCAUAAGUAGGUAGAGACAGAUGUCAAAAGGAUAUAGUAUAGUUAGUUGUGAAGUUUAAAACUAUAAUGCAUUCAAUGAAAGCAGUGUGAUUUGUUAAUAGUAUAGAUGACGAGUGAGUGCUGAUUAAUGUCUUUUUCUUAGUAGAUGGUUAUGGCCCUCUUGCACCAUGUGAAGUUCUUAAUUUCUAUGUCGGUGAGCUUUGGAGAUAAUAUCCAAGAUUGUUUAUAUAUUAGCCUAUUAGGCACUUCUAAUAGCAUACACUCACAUUUCAUGAUCAAACCAAAGAAGCUUAAUAGCUUCUCCUGAGUUCUAAUAAGUCUGUUUUGUAAUUGUAAUUCCCUAUGCAGAUUUUCAGUCUGCGCCAAAGAGCACUUGUGUGCUUUUGGCCUUUUGUUCUUUUUGUUUUACUAGGAUUUUGUUAUGGAGAACAACAAAGUACAAUUGAGGUAGUUGGGCUUGGUGAAUGUGCAGAUUGCAUACAGAACAAUAUUAAGACUAGCCAGGCUUUCUCAGGUACUUUGUCUCCUCUUAUCUAGUACAUGCACAUAGUAUAAAAUUUUAUUUUAUCUGAUAACUGUUAUAAAAAAAAAGUCUCUAAAAUAUUAGACACAUUUUUAACAUAUUACAAUUCUUUACAAUGUAAACACCAUCUAAGCCUCUAAAGGGACUUUGAAUCCAAAAAUAAAAAAUGUUUGUUUUAGUAUAUGACUAAUAUGUCUAACUAACAUUCUUGUGCAGGGUUACGUGUAACAAUAGACUGCAAGGCCUCAAAUGGACAUAUCCAAACAAGAGGGGCCGGUGAGCUUGAUAAAAAUGGAAAUUUCAAAGUAUCACUUCCUAAAGACAUAGUAAAAGAAGGUGAAUUGAAAGAAGAAUGUUAUGCUCAGUUACAUAGUGCAUCAGCUGCACCAUGUCCUACUCAUGAUGGCAUUCAAAACACCAAAAUUGUCAUCAAGUCAAAAUUUGAUGACAAACAUACCCUCAGUACUGCUAAUGCUGGCAAACUCAAAUUCUCAUCAGCUACAUGUACCUCAGCAUUUUUUUGGAAACACCCUCUUUUUCCUAAGCUUCCUCAUCCUCAAUUACCUGACUUCCCACCAUUUCCACCAAAAGUUUUCCACAAACAUCCUCUUUUCCCUCAUAUUCCUAUCUACAAGAAACCUCUCCCUCCUCCUGUGCCUGUCUAUGUAAAACCUCUUCCCCCUCCUGUGCCUAUCUAUAAGCCUCCUGUAUAUGUAAAACCUCUCCCUCCUCCAGUGCCUAUCUAUAAGCCACCUGUUUACGUGAAACCUCACCCUCCUCUUGUGCCUGUUUAUAAACCACCUGUAUACGUGAAACCUCACCCUCCUCCUGUGCCUGUCUAUAAACCACCUGUAUAUGUGAAACCUCACCCUCCUCCUGUGCCUGUCUAUAAGCCUCCUAUUAUUCCAGUUACUAAACCGCUUCCACCACCGGUUCCGUUCAAGAAACCAUGUCCACCAAAGAUUGAGCAUCCAAUUCUACCACCUGUUCCAAUAUAUAAACCUCCAAUAGUUCCAAAGCCACCGGUGGUUCCGAUCGUCAAGCCACUUCCUCCUCCAGUUCCAAUUUACAAACCACCAGUUGUCACUAAACCUUUUCCUCCAUUCAAGAAACCACCAUGUCCACCAAAGAUUGAGCAUCCAAUUCUACCACCUGUUCCAAUAUAUAAACCUCCAGUAGUUCCAAAACCACCGGUGGUUCCGAUCGUCAAGCCACUUCCUCCUCCAGUUCCAAUUUACAAACCACCAGUUGUCACUAAACCCUUUCCUCCAUUCAAGAAACCACCAUGUCCACCUCUUCCCAAGCUCCCUCCAAAGCCAUUUUUCCAUCACCCCAAGUUUGGAAAAUGGC